RNAcentral lists this long non-coding RNA (75144 nucleotides) under Spirodela polyrhiza (greater duckweed). RNAcentral's name for it is "long non-coding RNA (SPOL_LNC001103)". Lineage: Eukaryota; Viridiplantae; Streptophyta; Magnoliopsida; Alismatales; Araceae. The record is from RNAcentral.
UAAUCUUCCUCCGUCCGUUCUUCCCUUCCAUUCUUGCGGUGUUUCUCGGCGCUCGUUUUGGGUCCCUGUUCUUCUGAUUCUGCUUCGUGUUUCGAUUUCUCGAGCUUCUUUCUCCAGUGGGCUCGUCAACGCUGCUGAACAGGGAGUGCUAUGGUGUCGUCUGUUCUUACCUUCCAUUCUUGCGGUGUUUCUCGGCGCUCGUUUUGGGUCCCUGUUCUUCUGAUUCUGCUUCGUGUUUCAAUUUCUCGAGCUUCUUUCUCCAAUGGGCUCGUCAACGCUGCUGAACAGGGAGAGCUAUGGCGGGUGGUUGCUUCGCAACCACGCCGCCCCCUGUUAGCUCCGACUAGCCCGCAGGUUCUCUGCGGGCCCCCCUGCUGGCGUGCGAGCCCCGACACGAAAUCCCGAUGGUCUCAUAGUACGGGCUUGUGCUUCUGCGACGCGGUGCCUCGUUGCGCCGCCCGCUGUUCCUCUCGCAAGUCCGCCUCCAUAUACCAUUACAUCACUUCAGCUUUCUGAUUCAAUCAAUAUCGUCGAGGCGCGUCUUCUGUGAAGUUCUCUGUUCCGAAUUUGUGGGAGGUGUUGAGCUUCUCCAAUGCCGAUCCCCUGCAACUCCUCUGUUGUUGGUAGCUUUCGGUGUGAUCGAGGCUUCCGCGAGUUAGAUCGUUCGCCGGGUUCCAAAUCGCUAAUCACCGUGUCUGUGCGAUUCAGCAGCGAGCCAGAUCGAUUCGCCAGUCUUCCGUGGAGAUCGGAUGUAUCCUCGAUGCGCGGAGUGAUAUCGAUUCAUUAAGUUCGUCGUUCUCGGAUUUCGUCAAUUAAAUUGCUCUUCAAAUCUGAGAUGAUCGUUCUGAAUUCCCCCAUUUUUCUGAACCAGAUCCAUAAUUUUUCUCAUCCGUAGCCAUCUCUGCCCGAUCGAAACUCCUUCACGGGAAUUCUUGGCUGGCUUCAACGAGCAUGCUCAGUACGCGACCGCGAUUAUUCCUGGCGUUAUUAUCACAUAAUAUAUCGAUGAAAGUUUCUCUUCGCCCAUAAAAAUUGGACUAAUCGUCGAAGUCAAAGCGUUUGGAAGAGUUUAUAUGGGUUGCAUGUACAUAUUCAUCUUGAAUAAAACCUGGUCUGAUUGGAUGAGUUCCAUUGAAACCCAUGAAAAAUGCUCUUACUAAUUAUAUAAUAAAUUGGAUGUCGUCGGUUUGAUGGGAAAUUUUCUGGCAUUUGGAGUGUGGUAAUCUCAAGAUUUUGAGGAGCCCAUCUGGUUCUUGUUGGGUCGUCUGGUUAGGACGCAGAUGACAGAGAUUAAGUGGGAUUAAUAGGGAUUCUAAGUACAAAAUCUUGAUAACUUGCAUAUGUUUAUUACAUACCCAACGUUGCUCACUGAAGAAUCAGUCUGAUUCAAGGGGUUCAUCCACAGAUGAUUGUUUUUUUUUUGCCAGUAAUCAGCAGACUUUAACUUCCGGUGGUAAAGAGGCCGGGCUGAGAUGUCAAGCCCAGUUCACUGUUCUUCUGCAGGCCGAACUCGUGUAGCCCUGGUUCAGUCAGAGUUAGGGUUUCCGAAGAAGUCUCUUAUAUUUGUUACGAACAGAACUAAGGAGACUGGUGGUACCCUUCUAAUUAUGUUGAGCGAAGAUCAGAUCGCAUGGCAAGAGCUCGAAGUUUGGCUCUGCUUUCACAGUUUUCCAGCGGGGAUUGGCCGCAGACAUUUCCCAGAAUCUCCCAGAUUUGAUGGGACAUUUGAUACCAGGCGACAACUCCAUCGAACAACUGUGAACAGCCCCCCCUCUCUCUCUCUCNNNNNNNNNNNNNNNNNNNNNNNNNNNNNNNNNNNNNNNNNNNNNNNNNNNNNNNNNNNNNNNNNNNNNNNNNNNNNNNNNNNNNNNNNNNNNNNNNNNNNNNNNNNNNNNNNNNNNNNNNNNNNNNNNNNNNNNNNNNNNNNNNNNNNNNNNNNNNNNNNNNNNNNNNNNNNACGACCCCUCCCUCCUCUCUCUCUCUCUCUCUCUCUCUCUCUCUCUCUCUUUCUCUCUCUUACUUUAUCAAGGGAUGCCUUCCUGCUUGUGCCAACUUUCCUGUGGGUUCUCCAAAUCAUCCCCAUCGAUCUACAUCAGUGAUGUCUGCUUCAAAUUUAUCUGGUGCUCUGCAAAGAACUGAAGGGCACUCUUCUUUAGAAAGCCCAUCCAUCCGAGGCUGGUCCCCGGUCAAAAUGUUGCCUUUUUCGGAUUCCCCAUUUAGUUUAUAUUUUUCUCCAUGCCGCUAUUGUGGGUCCUCCCUCAUGUCUUUUCUUCGCAUCUCUUGCUCUUGAUUGCCAGCUGCAAUCGGAUUUACGUGCCGAAAUAUGAUUUUAAGAACACCCGGAGGAAUUUCUGUAGAUAUUUGUCACUCUGCUGUCGCAUCUGCUCUUGGCAAGCCUGAGUAGGGAUGGAGAAGACCUAGAGGCGCCUGAGCUUACAGAGGGUCCACCAUGUCGGAGAUGACGAGCAUGAUGAUGAUGAUGAUGAUGAUGAUGGGUGGUGCAGAUUGUCACAUGGUGACAGGCGGGUAGGGUUUACACCAUGGGAAGAGCCCAUCCUCUUGCUUGCCCCUCUUCUGCUGAACUCAGACUACUUGGGUCCCACCUCUCUGGACCACUCGGCUGAAGAUCACUUCACUGUGAAGGGCCCCAUCGCAUGGAGGGCGCCCCAACUGGGAGAGCGAUGUUCCCAAAGUGGGAUAUCCCCAGAUGCGAUGAGGAUGAUCAGGUGCUUCUGAACCAUGUGGUGAACACGUCAUCAUUAUUCAUCAACGGAGAAUUAUGGAACAUUGUGGGUAUUUUCACAUUUCCUCUGCAUCAUGACAGCUCAUUUCUGCAAUUUUUUUUUUCCGCCAUCAAUCUGCCAGUUGGAUGCCAUGCUUUUCAAUUCUCUCGAUUAUGGUAGAAGAUGAUGAAAGCAGAAUAAUGAUGAAGUAAAGGCACCUGGGUUCACCAUGAAUGCCUCUGCCCGCCAACCAGAUUAGUCUUGAAAUCUCUCACUGCCCUGCCAGCGGAAGUCGGUGAACAAAAAAAAAAAAAGAAAGAAAAAACCAGUGUGAUCUCGGAGGAGAACCUGAUUUGUGAUAUUUGUUGGUUCAUUAUCUUGGUAAAGUUUAGUUCUUGAUCUUGCUCAGACCUCAAUCAUGGCGCUGUGGGCGGCCGUGGGGGCCCGUGUUGCAGGGAGAGGGGCAGAGUAUCUUCUUAUCUUUCUUGCUCAGUAUCUGCCCAGCGGCGGAAGGGCGCAGAGGGGACGGGGGAGGGAGAGACACGUCAUGUGGGCUUCUGGCGGCGUCAGAGGAAGAGGACGAGAUCCUCUUAAUGCCCGCUUGAAGAAGAACAAGAGGAAGAUGAAGAAGACGCGUCAUCCCUGCGUCGCUAUAUUAACCUCUUUCUUGCAGCGCCGUGGAUUUCGGCUCCGCGUCGCCUCAUGGGCUCCGUCCUUGGUCCGCUAGGGUUCCCUGGGUCUGAUCGCAGUAGCCUACCGGAGAGAUCUCGAGUUCGCUUGGUGCAGGUCGGGAACCUGCCCCCCACCCCCUCCGCCGCCAUGCCGGCGAGGCGGCGGCGGAACGCGGUUCCCCACUUGCGCCAACUGAAUUCGAGGUAUCGCGGCGGAGAAAAGGCUGCCGAGGAACCGGUGCGGCGGCGAUGGAGCCACCGCACCGGCGGAGUUCCUCUAUUUUGUUGAAGAGCCACCUGCUCGUCGUUGACCGCUCCCCCCUUCUUUCAGCCUCUUUCUAAUCAUGAUUCUAUGUACAUGCUCUUCUUCUUCUUCUUCUUCUGCAGGGGAUUGGGAGCGUCUGUCCGUUGAGAUUAAUCCAUCAAGGAACGAAGGCCGAGGUGCAGGAGGGAUCUCCUUGGAGAUUCAACGAAUUUUUUUUUUUUCAAUCACCCAGUUGGAUUGAAUCUGCUCCAGCUAUUUUACAGAGCUGGAAUCACCCAGACCAGAGGCCUUUGUUCUUGGAGGAGGAGGAGGCCUGAUCUCCGUGUUCUUCAGCUGUUCUUCAAUUUCUCGCCGCCUACUGGGUGCCCAAACUAUCCCCUCCCAGAUUUCUAAAAUAAUAUCAUGAUUCUUCAUAACCAGGUGAAGAAGACUGGGCCGACUGGAGAUGUGACUCAGAGACUCGCAAUCUCUUGUUUCCUUAAGAUCAGUUUCUGCGGAUCUCAAUCAUGGCUGAACCUUGGUUGCUUCAUUCUCUUGAAUCCGAAGUCAUGGCUGAAGCUGAUGCUGAUGGUUAGGAGAGGCGACGAUCUGUGGCCAUUAUUUUUUACUUUGUAUUUCUCAUCUUCCGAUAAAGUUUUUUUUAUCAUGAGAUUUAAUUAAAUCCUCCUCUGAUAAACAAUGCCUGAGGCUCCUCCAACCUUGCCCUACCAGGCUCUUUAUAUGACCCAUUUGACAAAUAUUUGUGCUUAAAAUCUUUCAUCUACGACUCUCUCUCUCUCUCUCUCUCUCUCUCUCUCUCUCUCUCUCUCUCUCUUCAUGGUUCAAGGAUCCCAUGAAGAUUCUGGGUCAAUCUUCCUCACUAAUCUAGGCAUAAGUCAUCCAUCAGACCAAGGAGAACGUGCUGCUAUAAAAUUCCAUCUAAUCUUGGAAGCAGCCAACACCAGAGAUCAGAUAGAUAGUGAGCAAAAAUAGCAUAUGAAAGUUUAUCAGCGUUCUUAAAAAGGUUGCAUUAUUUGAUGAAACUGAGAUCGCACAUCAUGAUAUGUUCAGUGACAAUUGAUAGAUUCUGACCGUGCCCAUGACUCCAAAAAGCUUGGGAAAUCUACGCAACAUGUGGAUUCAUGAUGCCCAAAAGGCUUCCCAUUUGAUACAGAAUUAAGUAAAAUCCAAAUUAAGCAAAUCUCUUUUAUAAUCCUGAGCAUGAAGUCAACUGGGGGCCAUUUCACCGCCUGAAGCCCUUGGGCUCCAUCUCAGGGCGGCAAGGGUCAACUCAGUAAUGAGAGGCAUAAAGAGAAAGACCCCUCCCAUGGGAAAUUACCAAAAUCAUUGGUCACAGGUAAAUAAUGGGAAAUUAUCCUAAACCGGGUAAAAAAAAAAAUUAAUCAGAACCUUCGUCUGAUUAAUAUGUGGGGCAUGAACUGACCGUACAAAGUGGGAGGAAAUACGCAGCCCAUAAUUUGUCAGAUUUUUCAACUGGCAAUAGCAGAAGCCCUAUUCAAAGCAUUCGUUAUUGAAACAAGUACACAGAAAAAUUAACAACAAGGCGAUUUCUUAGGGUAGAAAAAUCCAGACUUACGGCUCACAGGUUCUACAUUUCUUCGAUCUGGGCACCUUGAGCCUCCCUCCACGCUCAUUGGAACGCGCUCUGCUGCAGCUCGAGGGAGCCCCUUCAGCCCCACUGGAUGCUCCACAAGGGCUUAAUGGGGAGGGGGUCAGAGGGUUGACUUGGGUACAGUGGGUCGGUCCAAAGCAGCUCCCGCUCUUGACCAGAGGGAAGACUCUGGGAUGAGAAUCAACAGGGAUGAUCUGGGAACUCGGGGUGGCCUGUCCAGCCUGAGGGCCACCUCGUGGCUCACAGGGGUCCACUUGUUCUUCAUUGGGCUUCAUCCCCACCUCGAGAGGAGCAGGAGACGCUUCAGAGCUUUGCCUAAUUUGACUGAUGGUAGCAAAAAGUUUUUCUUUUGAUCUGAUGAUCUGCGACAUGAGAAUCCUCUUCUGGGAGUCGCCAUCGCCUUCAAAAAAAUCAAUAAAUAAAUAAAAUAAAGGGGUCAAAGUUAUGCAUAGACUUUGAGUAUAUUCAAGGAAAUAAACCGAGUAUAGAGAGAGAGGACCUAAAAUUGACUCAACAACAGCGCGUGCUGCCAGCUGAUUCGCUUCUCUCUUGUUCCUUCCGACGGUGCCCUUGUGUACUCUUCCAGCGAAAAGCACAGAGGAGGUGAAUGUGGGAAGAAGUCCGUCUAACUGGGAGCAUGUAUAGACUGGCCGCUCUAAGUUCAUCUUUACUGCAUACUCCUCCAUAAUAGAUCUGCAAAAUGUCGUGUCCUGGAAGAGAUACAGCAAAUGAGUAAGUGAGCAAUCGAGAGAGAGAGAGAGAGAGAGAGAGAGAGAGAGAGAGAGAGAGAGUAGAGAGUAGAGUAGUAGUAGUAGUAGAGUAGUAGUAGUAGUAGUAGUAGUAGUAGAGAGAGAGAGAGAGAGAGAGAGAGAGAGAGAGAGNNNNNNNNNNNNNNNNNNNNNNNNNNNNNNNNNNNNNNNNNNNNNNNNNNNNNNNNNNNNNNNNNNNNNNNNNNNNNNNNNNNNNNNNNNNNNNNNNNNNNNNNNNNNNNNNNNNNNNNNNNNNNNNNNNNNNNNNNNNNNNNNNNNNNNNNNNNNNNNNNNNNNNNNNNNNNNNNNNNNNNNNNNNNNNNNNNNNNNNNNNNNNNNNNNNNNNNNNNNNNNNNNNNNNNNNNNNNNNNNNNNNNNNNNNNNNNNNNNNNNNNNNNNNNNNNNNNNNNNNNNNNNNNNNNNNNNNNNNNNNNNNNNNNNNNNNNNNNNNNNNNNNNNNNNNNNNNNNNNNNNNNNNNNNNNNNNNNNNNNNNNNNNNNNNNNNNNNNNNNNNNNNNNNNNNNNNNNNNNNNNNNNNNNNNNNNNNNNNNNNNNNNNNNNNNNNNNNNNNNNNNNNNNNNNNNNNNNNNNNNNNNNNNNNNNNNNNNNNNNNNNNNNNNNNNNNNNNNNNNNNNNNNNNNNNNNNNNNNNNNNNNNNNNNNNNNNNNNNNNNNNNNNNNNNNNNNNNNNNNNNNNNNNNNNNNNNNNNNNNNNNNNNNNNNNNNNNNNNNNNNNNNNNNNNNNNNNNNNNNNNNNNNNNNNNNNNNNNNNNNNNNNNNNNNNNNNNNNNNNNNNNNNNNNNNNNNNNNNNNNNNNNNNNNNNNNNNNNNNNNNNNNNNNNNNNNNNNNNNNNNNNNNNNNNNNNNNNNNNNNNNNNNNNNNNNNNNNNNNNNNNNNNNNNNNNNNNNNNNNNNNNNNNNNNNNNNNNNNNNNNNNNNNNNNNNNAGAGAGAGAGAGAGAGCGUAUGUUCUUCAGGUUUGAAUGCCUGGUGUAACGAGUGGCACCAUUAAUAAGUGUUUCACACAGGGGACAAGAUCAGAAUUUUCAGGAAUUCUUUUUAUUUUUAUUUUUCUGAAACAGCAAGAGAUUGAUGAUUUGCCUGCAUUAGGUUCAUAGGAAAGGCAUUAAAUGGCAUCAAAUUAAUAAACCUUUGACGAAAUAUUAGUCGCCUUAAACAUUUAAAAAUCCUUAAAUCUUAUCAUAAUCUAUUGAACAUUAGUUAGAAGAUUCAAAGCAGACACAGUUCUUAACAUAAAAAAAAGUUAUAGAAAAACAAUAUCAGCUGCAAUAAAAUGGCACCUCUUUCAAUCAAUCAAGGCUCCAAGGUUUUUGUAUGGAGGACCAUAAAAAUAGAUUACAAGAACCAGAUUUAAUGAUCUCAUUUCAAAUUCAGUUAUAUAGUUCUUAGAUUCCAAUCAUUGUGGACUGAUCAUUGUGAAAAUAUAUUGGUGCAAUCAUCCACCAAUUCCAGAAAUAGGAAUACCCAGAAAAAAGUUAUGAACCUCCACUUAUUUGAACAACAAUGUUCCAGUACCCUAAAAUAGAGGAGGCUGCCUUUAUGACCAUUAAUCAGAGGGCAGAAGACAGGCCAACAGUGUUGAACAAGUUUCAGUAAAAUCAAAAAAAUAAAAUGAAACCUAGGAACCAAGUCUAAAUAGAAGGAAAUUUUAAUUAAAAAAUGCAAGGAAUGAACACAUUCAAUGACCAUACUUUAAUUAAACAAAACAUAUCAUAAAAGUAGUCGCAUAUUGAGUAGCGUAGGAAGGGAUGGAAGACAUACACAACUAAUUAAAGGGCACUCUUGUUGUUCUAUCUUCUUGGAUAAUUCUUUAAGAGCCAGCUCAGCCACAUUUUGCUCUGCUUCCUUCCGAUGGGGAAAUGUUUGCGAUGAUCGGAAUGUAACUCCAUCAACUAUGACGGAUGAUCUAAAUUGUGGAGCAUGUUGUGUUCCUUCAUUGAUUGUUUGAUAUAACGGCAGUGGGAUCAAAGAUCUCUGAGCAUGCUCUUGUAAACGAUUCUUGUGCAUAAAUUUAUCAUCUGGGCCUAUUUAUGUUAAAAAAAUAAAAAGAACGUUGGUAGUGCAUAUUUAUUUUUAUUAUCAACUAAAGAUAUAUCAAAGAUCAAAUUAGUAAUGAAGGAAAAUAAUUGAGGUAAUAGAGAAAAAGACAUUUGCAUAGAAAAAAGUACAUUGAAAAGGUAUCUAAACGAAAGAUUUUGAAUUUAUGCAAUGCAUCAAAAAUUUAUUGACCAUUGAUUGGGAAUCUAAGGGUAGUGGAUAUUAUGAUAGUUGACACUUACUACUCGGGGAAUCGGGAGAGACUAUCCCCAAAUGUGGAAAGAAAAUCCAAGCAUCUAGGUUUAAUAUGAUGUCAUGGUUCAACAUUCAAUUACCAAAUAUGGGUUUUCAAAAAAAUAAAUUAGACGACACCCUUCUUGGCCAUCAUUUACUUUGAAAUAGCCAAUGAUCUGAGGGAAAUGGUGAUAGCAAUCUGAACCAAAUUAGUGUUUGAUAAUGGAUAUAAAGCAAGAGCCUCUCCUGUCUCCAUGUCAAGCAACCUAUUUAAUACUUUUGGUCAUAAUAACCUAUGAUUAUAUCGACACCAUCUUUCGGUGAAGAAACGUUGAGAGCACCAAUAAAAAGAUUUGCCCUCAUGGGCAAUAAAGGCAGAGUAGAAGCCAGAUGCGCAGGUCCUAAUCCCCAAAAAAAGCAAUCAGAUUUACAGCGAAUCCAGGAUUCAAAAAAGGGAAAUCCCCAGAAUUCUUGCAUUCAAUUGUUCCUGGAUUCAUGAGCAAAAACUGCCACCUUACCCUGUUUAUUACAGCAACAUUCCAGCUAGUUAGACAUCCUCCUUAUAUUUUAGACAACCAGGGAACUUAUAAACCAUCUCGAGACCGGAAAAUUUUCCCAUUUUAGCCCCCCAUGAAUGCUUCCAGAGGCAGCAAUCGCAGCAGAAAGGAACUCAGUGGGUCACAACGACAGGAGAAGGUAAUUCACUGGGCCAUGGUUUCUUCAAGAAGCUUAACAAGCAGAUGUCAGCCUGUAGAAGAUGUUCGCCGAGAGCAGUUCUGGAAUCCAGGGAGGAAGGUACGGAUCUUAUAAUGUCUAUUCACAGAUCACCCUCGUCUCUUAAAAAGAAGAAGAAAGAAAAGACAAGAAAUUAUGAAGAAUGGAUCAAACUGCUUUCUCUGGUCACAAGAAACCACUUCUUUGAUUGAUAAACGAAUAAGAGGAAGAAGCCAUCACCGGCGAAAAUCCUAGGUCACUGAAUAAGCUGUGUCGUGAAGGGAGCUGAAAGGUGAGCUUACUAGGGUUCGACGACGAAGCGGGUUGCAUCCCCAACGGAGCCCUGGAGCGGAUGAAACGUGAGGAGGAAGGAGGGCGCAGCCCGGUAAGAUUUCCCCCCUACGCACCAAAAAAAACGCUGCUCAAGAACAAGCCCCCCAGCCUCAGCAAGUUCACUCACUCCCCGCAGCAACGAAGGGACAUGGAGCAGAGGGGGAUGGAGAGGCGGAGCGAGCCCAGCAGCACUCUGCCAAAGGGAUCUUCGUGGACGAAGAAUAUGCCCAAAGAGAGGGCACCCCUACGGCGGCAAAAGCGCUCCUCCACUGUUCAUCGACCGCGGUCAGCGAUCCCUGCCGGAGUGGGCUCUGCGGAGGAGUCCUCGACGGCGGGACAAGUAGUCUGUGGAUGUGAGGUUCUACAGUGACAAUACGAAAAACUCUGGAAAAACUGGAAAUGGCUCAUUCCACAUUUCUAAUAUGAUCACAAGCAGUUGAGUCAUUUGGAUCAUCAUCAAGAACCAUUCUUGGAAAAGUUAAAUCUCUCUUGGAAAAGGACGUUUAGGCAUACUCACUUUGACUUUCUUUGGCGGUGAAUAGUUUGCACAUUCAAUUGUAUAAAGAAAAUCAUGCCCACCAUUUUUUUAGGAUUUUCAUCUGAUUUCGUUUAAAUAUGUUAUUAUUCCCAAUCAAUUAUCAUUCCUACAAUAUAUUUAUCAAAUAUUCUAACCUUAAUAAUAUUAGUAAUGAAUGUAGACACACUAACUUCUUACGUUAGUUUGAAUCAACUAUUGUUGAUAACAACAAUCUUUGAGCCACAAGAUGCACGGAAAUACCUUACCAUUAUUAACCAUUAUUUUUUUUUCUUUGGACCUCAUUCAGCAUCUAGAUGUGGUUGUUUGUAAGGUGCAUUUAUGAUCAUUAAUAAAUUUGAUGAAGAGGUAAUAUAAUUUGAUAAAAAUCCUUAGGCCACUCCACUUAGCAAGCCUAUUUUGAAAUUCUUACUUUUUUUACCACAAGAUAUAUAUCAUAGUCACCAAUGUGAUUUUCAAUAUGGUUGAAGAACAUUGAGAUUUUAUGGAAAGUUAUGCCAUAUUAAUAUUUAAAUGGGGAGAGCGAUGGAACCAUAUCAAUAUGAAUGGAAUCGUAAGGGGAGGGGGGUGGGUUAAAAUAUUCUUUUUCUAUAAAAUAGGACUCCUCAAGUGAGAGAAGCCCACAUGACUGCUCCCAAAAAUAAACACAUUGUGAAUUUUAUCUCUAUAAUUUUUUCGUAUUUUUCUCAGUGAAACUUACCAAAUGUAAGCAUUUGUAGGAAUAUUUGUUAUCCAAUUCCAUUAGCUAUCGUGAAUACUUUCAAUGAGGCUACAAUUAUUUUGUGUUGACAAUCUUAUAUAUGAUAGGGACCUUAUUGCAUUGUUUGUUACUUUUUAUCUUGAUUUAUCCUAUGUUGUUGUUACUUCAAAAUUUUACUUAGCAUUGAGACCAAGAGACUAGAUAUGAAUGAGAUUGAGACCCAUAAUAUGAUUGUGAAAUCAAGAACAAUAUUUCAAAAUUUAACAAGUAAAUGUAUCAUAUCUAUUUUCAUGAUAGUUUUAUAAAGCAUGCGUAAUUUAGGAAUUUGGUUUGAUUUUUUCAUCUUUAAUUUUACAUUCCAUAAUCUACAAUGUAGUUAUAUGCAGGACCACAUGAGUAUAUUCAUACAUUCUUCCUAAUUGAAUAUAUCAAGAGAUUAAUGAAAACAUGGAUAUGGACACAUCAAUCAUGCCAUUAGUCUCUCUAGACGACUUUGAAUAUACCCUUCAUAUCAGCAAUGUUGAAAUUUCUUUAGGCAACUUUGUGUGAAUACUUUGUGUUGGUUUUUGAUAGGACCUUGAUUCUAUCCAGAAGACAAAGGGGGAAAAGCAAGAGAAACAUGAAUAUGAUAUAGUCUAAAAGGUAGUAGAGAGGAAAUAACAUAUAAAAGAGAUCUUGCUUGAACCCCAAAUAGUUUGAGACAAAUUUUAGAGCACCUCGCCCUCUUGGGGACUUUCUAAAGGGUGCAUGGUCCCCCACUCCCCCAUCAAGGGGUCUUACAUUGAGGAGUGAUUAGGGUUAGCCUUAGGUUGGGCUUCUCGUUCAUGAUCUUAGGCUUCCAUAUGUUGGGCAUUGGCCUAAGUUAUCCUUCUUUCAUAAGAUUUUAAGGGAAUCAUAUCAAUACUCCCCCCCUAUGCAACUACCAUAUCCUCGAGGUAGAACUCUAAAAAAUAAUUACUAAUUGUUGACAUUGAUUCUCAUAAAGUUUUAAAGUUAGGAAGAUCAUGCCACUUGAGUAGGAUCAUGAGCCCAUUUGAAGAUGGCUUGAAGAUUAAGAACCCUUUUGAGUAGACGAUCCAUUCAAGCUCCUUGAUUAGAGAAGUGGGAAGUAAUUGGGUAAAAUAUCUGUGCCCAAUGCAUGCUUCAAUUGUGAGACAUGAAAAAACAAGUGCAAUAAAAAAUGAGGUGGCAAGUCCAAUUUGUAUGCAACUUGACCUAUAUUUUGCUGCACCAUGAAAGGUUCAAAGUACUUUGAGCCCAAUUUUUCAUUAGGGCAAGAUGUUAGAGAUUUCAUCCUAUGUGCUUUGAGUUUUAUGUAAACCUUGUCUCUUGUAGUAAAGUGGACAUCAUUCGUGUUUGUCAACUUGAAUUUUUAUAUGAGCCUGGGCUCAAACUAAAUGAGAUUUGAAGAGGUUUAAAAUGAUGUCCCUCUAUUUGAGUAACAUGUCAAAAAUAUCAACUAGAGAAGUAGGAGAGUUUGUGUGAACUAGAGAUGAUGGAUCUCUACCAUACAUCACUUUAAAGGGUGUCAUGGGGAUAGACGAAUGAUAAGAUAUAUUGUAGGUCAGCUCGGACUAAUAGAAUCACAAGUUUUAAGUGUUUACUUACAAAACAUUGCAAAUAACAUCUGAGCCCUUGAUUUACAAUGAUUUGGCUGUAGGUUUUCAAAUGGUAUGAUAAUCUCAUUUGAAAUAAUGUGCCUUGGGUCUUGUGCAGCUCCUUCCAAAAAUAAUUAAUAAAUAUACUACUAUGUUAAGAAAGAAUGAAGUUAGGAAGUGAACUACCUUCUUGGCAAGAUGUGUGCAAUGUCCCUUGUUGAGUAUGAGUGUUUGAGAGUAAUAUUGUGGUUAUACUUAGACAACCUAGUAUUAUUAUGAUAGAAUCAAAACCUAUGAUUUGGGCAAGCCUUCAAUGAAAUCUAGGGAUUCAUCAUUGGCAAAAUGUUAGAGAUUUCAUCCUAUGUGGUGUGAGUUUGACUAGGGAUAGAGAGAGGCUAAAGUAAGCCUAUUGGAGAUGAAUAGGAAGAUUUGAAUCAAAGGCAAAUGUUGCAUUCAUUGAUAUAAGCCUUUAUGUGCCUCUUCAUUCCUUGUUAGUGCACUUGUUGGGUUAUCUAUUUGUAAAUUUUUAAGAACCUCACGUGCCCUCCCAAGACAUUGUCAUGAAAUUAUUUGAAAAGAAAAGACACAACUACAUGCUAAGUAUCCACAGCCGGCAUUGAUAUAAGAGUGUCUUGAAAAAGAGAGUAGUUGGGUUUAAUUCUCUUCUCAUACCACAAUAAUUGCUUGAUCUUUGAUUAUAUGGGGUCAAGGUCAAUGUUAGUUGUAUUCGGUCUAAAUCAAACCAUAUAGGAGUAAAAAUAGAGUGGAACUGUAGUUUAAGUAAUAAAGGGGAACAUGAUAAAACAUCAACUACCUUGUUCAUGCACCUAUCUUUGUAUUUGAUAUUGAAUUAGAGUCUGACACAUCAUCAAUGUGAAAGUUAGUAAGAUCCAAGCUUGAAUUCACAAAGCAUGAAUCUAGAGGAGAAAACUAGAUUAAAUAUAUAGAACUAGAGUUGUCACCCUUAAAUCUAUAAGAUCAAAAUUGAAUCCACAAGAGUUGGGGUGAGGUGACCUUAAAUCCAUAAGAUCAAAAUUGAAUCCACAAGAGUUGGGGUGGUGUGACCUUAAAUCCAUAAGAUCAAAAUUGAACACUUGAGUCUACAAGGCAAUAAGGAAGGUGACCUCACAAGAUAGAAAAACUCAUGACUUCUAAAAGAUGUUCCUCUAAGUUACAAUGGGAAACUUUAUAUGGGCCACAAAGGAGGUGGGACUCUCCCAAAACUAAGAUCCUAAAUGAAUCUUGAUGACAGACUUUGAGUGGCCCUAAAAUGACUUGAAAUAGGCAGUGACAAAUUAAAAUGACAUGAAAUGAGAUAUGAUAUAUUGAAAUGACUUGAAAUAGGUUAUGAGUAAUAUUUAAAACACCUUCUAGAAGAAAAGAGACAUAAAAUAAAUUUAUAUAAAUUGACUUUCUUAAAGUAACUUUUUGUGACUUCUUGGGCCAAAUUAGGUAUUAAGCCAUCUUUGAGUACUUGUCUUUAUGACCUAAAUUCAUAGGUUGGGCCUAUAGUUUUAGACUUCGCUUCUACUUCUAUGUGUUGGGCUACAUCAGAAUCUUAAAAGCUUUGACAACCACUUGUGAUAUUAGGUAUACACCUCAUGUUGAUUAAAUAAUAACUUGAAGUCAUAUUGAUUUGUGCAUAUUGUAAAUCGUUGAAAUAUGAGAUACUAUUUUAAUUUUUGAACCGCCCAUACAAUUGUUACCAACUCCUAUUUAUAAGUUGAAUGUGAGUAAGCUUUUAAUGGGCAUGACUUAAAUAAAAAAUUCCAUUAGUUUCUUAUGUUUUAUUAUGACUAUUGAUGCCCUUAAGCAUAUGUUUUGAUAUUACAAUUAAAUGAGAAAAUGUCUAAUUGAUAUUUGAUAUUGUUCACAUGAUUAUUAUAAAUGUUUGAUAUAUUUUAUGAAUUAAACUCUAUUAGUUAUCUUGUGAUAUUAUACUUAACCCAUUGAUUUAAGAAAUUAAAUCUUGAGAUUAAUUGAUUUGAUGAAUAGGUGAAGCAUCACAUUUAUGAGAAUAAAUAUUUGAUAGAAAAUAAAUAUUUAAAUGCUUAAAUCUUUUAAUUUAUUUAUCUAUGAUUAUUUGACCAUUUAAGUGGAACCCUUUAGUCAUUGGUCACAUGCAUUAUGAAAGGAAAAUGAAAAUAAUUCUAAAUAUUAAAUGAGCUCUCAGAGUCUUGAAUUGAAAAAUUUAGAUAGUGACAUGUCAGCUACUUAUAUAGAGAAAAUGACUAACUUAAUGUUAGAAUCUGAAGACAAUGUCAACAUAAAAGUUAUUUGUGCAUGAGAGAUGAAUUUUCAUUUUAAAUUUUAAAUUGAAUGAACUAAUAACUAUCAAGAUAUUAAAUUUACAAUGGUUAAAGAGAUUGUUACCACAUGUUUUGAAAAAUGAUAAGUAUUUGAAUUAACUUUCUAAUUUUAUCUCUUGAGAAAAACACAAAAAUUUGUUAGAGAAAGACGUCCUAUCAGUAAAGAAAAUUGAGAAGAUUAAAAACAAUCAUUCUACUUUGAUUUACAAAUGAGAAUCUCUUUCACGAUUGAAAAAUAUCACUGUGGAGCUUCAAAUGUGUGUAAAUUAUAUAAUCUUUUUUAUCAAUGAUUGGUGAUAAGUUAAAUACUUGAAUUUUUUAAAGAGGCUCUUCACUAGGACCUAAGGUAAUUAGAUAGUGAGGGGAGAGUGGUUUUGGAUGAAAAUAUGAAGUGCUCUUAGCCUUAGUUGGCUUGGACAAGGCUAGAUUUUUGCAAAGAUUGAACUUGAAUUAUUAACCUAUUUAUCUCAUGAGUUUUAGUGUAUAUUUAUGAGGAAAAUAGUUGAAAUAUAGUAGGAAAGAUUCUCUGAUAUUAGAAGUAGUUAGGUGAUGGACAAACUAGUAUAAAAGGAUUGUGUCUGAUUUGCGAGGGAGAGAAAAUCGUAAACUAACUUGUCAAAGGCAAGAGAAAGAGAACUCGUAGGUAAAUAAUCAUGAAAAAUAAUGUUAGCACACAUGUUGAGACAUCUAUGAUUUAAAAAUAAAAUUAUAAAUUAUAGAAACACCAAUUCACUACCCCUAUUGGUAUUUUACCUAGCCCCUAGAUUUUUCAAAGACAUCACUAACUCUUAGACCUUAAGUAUCAGUCUCUAAGGUAAACGGUGAGAUAAAUCAAGUAAGGAUAAGACUAGGGUAGAUAUCAUGACAAUCUUCAUAUUCUUAAAAACAUUGUAACUCUCCUUGAACCAAGUGAAAGUAUUAUAUUUUAGCAUCUACAUGAGAUUGUCAAAAUAAGCUAGUAUUUAAUCAUUGAAAUUUUAUUUACAUAUGUAGAAACUCUAUUAGUUGAAAUCUAGUGUCCUAAACAUUCGAUAUAAAGUUGGGCAAAAUAAUAUUUCUUGGUGUUAAUGUGGAAAUGAUUGUCACAAAGAACAUGAUACAUUAUGGUGAAGUGUUGCUCGUGAUCUUCCAAGGAGUGGUUGUAGGUCAAUAUAUCGUAUAAAAAACUAAGACAAAACAGCAGAGAUAAGAGUCAAAUAUAUGAUUAAUCAAAUAUUGAUAGGUUAUCAAGGCAUUGGAUAACCCAAAUGACAUGACCACAACUUUAUAAAUACUUUAGUGAGUUUUUAAAGUUAUUUUCAAUAUAUCUUCAGGGUACAUUUAAAUCUAGUAAUACAUUGCUAUCAAAUCAAAUUUAGAGAAAAUUGACAUAAUAUAUAUUUUUCUAAUAAUUCAUCUAACAUUAGGAUGAGAAACCUAUUAUGAAUUGUUGCCUUUAAUGCAUAGUAGUUGAAAAAAAUUACCAUCCUCCAUCUUUUUUCUUGAUCAAUAAAGUGGGGCUAGAAUAUGGGUUGAUAGAGUAUUAAAUGACACUUACAACUAGUAAUUAUUACACAAGCAUCUCACUUUUUUGGAAGUGAGAAUAUCAAUAUGGCUUUACAUUCAUUAGAGAUGCUUUUGACAAUAAUACAAUUGAGUGAUUGAUGUGACAUUACAGAGGAAGGCCUUGUUAGGUUUCAAAUGUAAGGAAAAUUAUUGUAGUCUAGUGAUAAGAGACUCUUACCUUUCGUUUUUUGAAGUGAGGUUAUACUUGAAAUCAUAGUAUGAUAUAAUUCAAUCAUGAAAGAGUAACUCUAUGCUAAUUCAAAAUCCACUAAUUUGAGGGGAAGAUUUGAUUUAAGUAGGCUAAGAUUUGUUUGGAGAGUGUGUUGUUGCACAUAGUUCAAAGGAUAUCAUCAAAAGUUCAUAAUUAUAAGAGAACUAACCCAACGAUUGAGACUAUUGUUCACCUAAUAUAAAAUAAAUUCUAAUAAGGUCUAAUGCUAAAAAAUCUUAGAUGAUGCAUAUCUUUUAGAUGAUAAUUAGUGGUAUGUGAUAAUGUCUUAAGUUGCACAUUUGAUGGUAAUCCCUCGAAGUCAUAGAUUAUAAGGGACCCAUUUCUAAUUAUAAGUGUAAUUCCUAAAUGAGUGAGGUGCGAAUGAAAGCGUGAGUAGUCCCUCCAUCGAUAAGGGCAGUAAUAUCUCUAAAAUAAAAUUUUCUUUCCAUCUUCAAGGUGUUAUGAGGAGUGAAUUUUGAGAUAGAAUUUAAGUAAAUAUGUGCAAAAUAUAAAGUUAUGUUGGUUGUAGGGUAUGGGUCAACUUUCAUCUAAUCCUCAUCUUCUUCUAUCCUAAUCAGAACAUGUUCUCCCUCUUAGACUAUAAUGAUGUAAAGCUUUCCUUUGCAUCCAUGACCUAGGGUGAAAUAAUCCUUGGAAUAGAAGCCAAGUCCUUAUCAAUCGGGGGGGGGCGGGGCCGGGGGGCAUUAUUUGUUUUCUUUAGUGGUGGCCUAUGGGGAAGAAGUUUGUAAUGUGCUUUACUCCUUGGUGGUUUUCACUAUGAGACCUAUAGGAGCUUUGUGAAAUGAGUGAGACCUAUAAUUGGGGGUAUGUGGUUACUAACCUUGGAGUGUGAAGAUGAGGUAUGGGGAGGUCCUAAUAAACCUACAUGUAGAUAGGCCUUCCAAACUAUUUGAAGUUAGAUUUCUACUUCACUAAAAAUUUCAUGAUUUCUUGCGGGUCAAGGGGCUUGUGAUGAGCAAGCUCUACUAAAAAUUUUAAUUUCAAACCAUUUAAGUAGGCACUCUCCAUAGUCUCCACUUGCACAUGAGGGAGAUAAGUAACCAAGUGUUCAAAAUUAGCCUUGAACUCAAGGACAUAAAAAUCUUGGUGUAAGUUGAAGAUGUACUACAAUGUAAUGUAUAAGGAAAGCUUAACAUGGCACUCCAAUUGGUGUUUAAAUUCUUGUCAAUUGUGAAAAAGAAAGUGAUCUAAUGUAUAUAGGAACUAAUCCAAAGCGGUCCAUCCAUAUGAGUGAGGACUAGCUUUAAACAAUUUUCCUCUAAAGUGGGAUUCAACGAAAAAAAAUGUUCAACAAGAUGGAGCCAUGCCUCUAGGUUCUCACAUAUGAAUACUAGUAGUUUUCUAUACCUAGACGGUUGGGGAAAGUCAUUUGUUGUCUCCUUUAUCUAAGGAGCAUCUAGAGGGUUGUGUGAAGCUGAUGGAGGGCCCUCUCUAAGUUAACUAGAAGGAAAGGUGUCACUCUUGUAACAAGAAGGAGAGGGUGGGGCUAUUUAGACUAAAUGUGACAAUGACAUAUCUACAUAGAGGUGAGUGUGGUGGAGUGUUAGCAACAUUGGAGAUGGAGGUGGUCCCAACAUUGUUGGUUGACCAAUAGAUGACGAGAUCCUCAAGCUACUAGGACAAAUGGUCUAGGACAUCUUUGGUGUUGGUGCAGUUGGCGUCAAUGCUUUCUUGUAAGGUGUCCAAGAUCUUUGUAAUAGAAUUUAGGCAUGCUUCUAAGGAGUCCAUGUGUGCCCUUUGAUGGGGGGUGAUCAUAAACGAGUAGGAAAGUGGCUCUAAUACCAAAUGAUAGAACCCUAAUUCUAUAAAGAGGCCAUGACAAGGGAAAAACAAGAGAAAUAAGAAUAGAAUCUAGAAUAGAAGACAACAAAGAAGGAACAACAUAUAAAAGGAUCCUGCAUGAACCCCAAAUAAUUUGAGAUGAAUUCUAGCACACCUUGUUCUCUUGGACUUUCUCCAAAAAGGUGUCUAGUGCCCCACUCCAUUAUUGGGGGUUUUACAUUGGGGAGGGAUUAGGGUUAGUCUUGGGCGGGGGUUCUAACUUAUGUUGGGCCUGGGCUUGAGUUCUCCUUCUCUCAUAAGACUUUAAAGGGAUCAUAUCAUAAUCCCAAAGCCCUAAUCUUCUAUAUUAUAUAUAUAUAUACAUAUAUAACAUAUUGGUUUGUACCAACAAAAUUAGAACCAAGUGACAAGACUUUGAAAGUUAUUCAUGCAUUUUUAUUGACACUUUUCAUCUUAAUUCAAUUGAUCACUUAAGCUUGAAGGCUCCCCAUUAACAUGCUAAUUGAUUUUCAUUAAGAAGAAAUGCCAUACUUAUAUUGAAUAGUUUGUUAGCUUUAAAAUAUGUAAUCUUUACAAUGGAUUUUUCUUAGUGCUUUUUUUUAUGAUAGCUUGAUAUAUCUUUACAAUGCUUUAUUUUUCUUAGUGCUUUACAUUGUCUUUUCAUAUAUUUUUUAAGACCCUUACGUUGAAUUGAUGACAGCAAUAAGUGGGCAUCAACAUUCAUAUUCUUUUCUAAAAAAAGGAAGAUCUAUGUUCUAUACAUCUCUUGGAAUUGAACAAAGCAAUGUAAGGCAAGUUUGAGUUUUACCUCUCCAUCUGACCUGUUUCUUACAUCAAUUUCUUCUACAACAUGGGGUUUGGGUUCUUCUACCCAAGAACCUGGUUAUUACUAAAUUAGCUCUGCACAAAUGCAUCAAUCAAAUUAGAAACAAUGUAGCUCCUGAUUUUAUUAGGGAUGUAAUCAUUUACAGGGUCUAAUCAAGACCAGAUAUAAUAACCCAUCCUCUUCAGAAAAUUAUGAGCGGACCAAAGAUGUUGACCUUAGCACCAUCAUCAUCACCAUCGUCAACCACAUGUAAACCCAUGGAUCACCAUCAAGGACCCAUCCUCCACCCAUCUCCCAUGGCACCAAAAUCACUUCAAGAUCAAUCCUGACAAAAAAAAUUUCCAUAUUGCUUCUUGAAUUUACCUCUUCAUUUCAUCCUAUUGACUAAAAAUGGAAAUAUUAUUUAUUAGGCAGAUAUGACUAUUAUCACAAUCAGUAGGACGAUGCUGAAGAUCAUCAGAAGCAUGCACGUCUGCAUAAACAGGAGAAAGAAAACACGUUUAGAAGAUUAAAAUGGUGAAAAUUUCGGUUAAGGUGAGAGUAGGGAAUCUACCAAAGAUGAAUUUGUUCUUUGAGAUUUUGAUGCCUGAGCUAGAUGCGAUUUUGCUUGAAUUGUUGCAGAAUGUGUGUUCCCAAUGUUGGUUUCGAUGUCAUCUGAUGUUAUCAUUUAAGGGUGUUUCGUAUGAUAAGCCAAACGUUGUGGAAAAGAAUAUCAGAUUUAGUUAGUUUUCAACUAACCGAUCAUGAUUCCUUGAUCAUGGACAAGGACUGCGAGGUCUUUGAAGAUUUCGUUCACAUCGCCUAUCUGCUGCUGGACCUCCUUGAUUCCUUGUUCCCUCUCCUCAAUAAUGGCAUCAUUGAAGAUAAUCUCAUUGUCCAGGAGGAGAACCUCUCGCCUUCAAAAAAUAAGAACGAAUUUCAGAAUUGAUAGCAUAGCCCAAGCAUCAAAAUAACGAUAAUCAAGUUUUUUUCAAAGUUUUUUUGAAAGGGACUAUAGGAGAAAAAAUCAUGCGAGACGAGUUCUUUUUGAUGAAAUAUGUAUGAUUAUGGUAUGCAAGGUAAAUUCGACAUCUUCCUAAGCUCUACGUUUUAUUAAAAAAAUUGUAUGUGUUUGGUUUGAUUAACAAAUUAAAAUUUAAGAGAUGCCAAGGUCUGGGAAAGAAGUCAGUAUAUUGUGAACUAUCAUCAUCCAUCCAGAAAAUAAUAUAACCAGCUCCCCAUUAUUCUUUCUGGAUAGGCAAAGUUGGAAAAUUUAGGAAAUUCACCAAUAUAAUAUUCUUCAUAUGAACAGCAAUGCAAAUUAGACGGAGGAUAAACACGUCCAAUAUAGUUAUUUUUAACUAGUAGGUGACAAGGAGAAACGAAAGUUUCACAAAUGAUUUCAAGAAAAUCACAAACAUUAUAUGUUAUUUAAAGAAAUUUUAAGGAAUGCUUGAUCAUUUGGCUUGAAUACCUCGUCAAGCUUUCUAGGAAAACUAAGAUAAACAUAAAUAUUGUGCGACAAUCACAAUUGAAAAUCGUAUUCAUCUAGAAUUCCUCUUUUGGAAUAAAUUUCAUUCCACGUGAUUCCCCACCUCUGCUGGCAUGAAGCUUGGUGUCGAACAUUUUCAGCAAUCAAGUAAAUUAAAUAAAUAGAAGGGUCAAAUAAGCCUAAUUGCCAAAAACUACUAAUAGUCCCUACCUCUUAAUUUAUUCAAAACAUCUAACGAGAAAACAACUUCAUUUAAAAAUUCCGUUCAACUUUUCUUCAAGUAUUUAAGAAUAUCAGAACUUCAUUUUUUAAUACCCUUUAUAUUAAAUAAUAGUCGUCUUAAAAUGACAUCCAAAAUAAAAGGAAGCAUUGCGGGAAGCAUAAACGACCACUACGCAAGGGGAUCCUUUGUUGAGACCUUAAAACAAAGAGGAUCUUCUGCAGUUAAAUUUCCUCUUGUGAUCUACAUUUAUCUAGGAUGGAAGUAGGAAAUGACAGAUAGAACCGUACAUAGAGAUCCAAAAUACAGAACACAUUGAUCAAGUCAAGCUACGUCACCUUCUGGAUUCCAGAAGUGAUCGUUGUUCUUGGGAUUUGUCAGACGAUAUAUCAUUCUCACUAGCAGAGUAGCUGCAAAAAAAGGAAACUAUAAACUGUAAGUUUAUGAUGAAGACGAUUUAUGCGCCAGACUUUGAAAAAUCAACAAUAAAGGAUACAACGUUAUCCCUCCCUUCAAGGUAAUCAAAAGGAGCAGAUUGAAUCAUGUUUCUAAUUUUUCUGCACAUAUUUCGAAGUCCCUGGCUCUGCUGCCCUUCAUCAGCUUGAUAAAUUUUUAACUCGUUUAAGAUUUUUUUUCCAUUUUCCAUCAUGAUUACUCUUACAAGUUGAGAGUACAUGCUUCUGUGUACAAAGUAUAUGCAUUACACAUAAACAAGCCCGUAAGUAUCCAAAACAAAUGAGGGUAAAAUAGUCACGUCCUUCUCAUGCAAGGUAUUUGUUUGCUAAAUAAGAUGGAAUUUAAUGCAAAACGAUGAUUAUUUGAAAAUGGCAAGCAAUAAACUAGCUGGAGAACGGACUCAGCACGUUGAAAGUUUUGAAAACGAAGACUAGUGACGAAGCACUGCAAUUCUAUUUUUUUUGAGAGAUCAUUAAUCGCUGCUGAACUGUCAUGCCAGAUAAGAGUAAACCAGAAUCACAAAAGGUAACUAGGAAAGGCUCCAAACGUAACCGUUCAACAUGUAUAAUCGAAACAAAAGUUACCUUUGUGGUAGAAUUUUGUUAGGCACAGAUGUGGUAUAAAGUGUUUCCUUCUCUGCUGCAAGUCGUUGAGCCUUCUGAAACUCCUUCAAAACUGCUUCAAAAUCUUUUGCAAGCUUCACAUCAGCAAUUUUCUUGCUGACCUGCGUCACACAAUAAAAAAUUUAAGUUUUAAAAAAACUGUUACACAGAAAGAAGAAAUUCCCCUCACAUGCAUGCAGAUAUUUACCCAAAAUUAUUUAUUUAGAACGAGUAUUUUUUAUGAAAGCGUAAAAUGAAUUCCAUAAACAUUGGUCUCAAUUAUCUUUGAACACACUGAAUGAGACUACUGGUAUUCCUUUGACCAAAUAUAUGACUAUAACCUCCUUGAAACCAAAGGGUUGUAAAAAUGCAUUUAACUAAACAGUGACUAUUAUGAUGGUCAGCAUCUCCUCGCCAUACACAUACACGGCCGCCCACCUCAAGGAAACAAUGCUCUUACCACGCAAAUAAAAUAAAAAAAUGGUAUUUCCAAGCAUCAUGGGUAAGAAUACCGAGAAAAAACCUUAUUGGUGAGCCCAAAAUCUAAUAUUACACAGAUUCGACUCAACAAAAAACUUAAUGGGGAAAUAAGAAGGAUAAAAGACUGCUCCUUUCAAGAAUAAAUAUAGCACUCAAAACAUACCAAUAAACUUCGUCAUCAACUAAAUAACUGUCAACAGAUUGGUGACUUUUAAUAACAAUUUUAGACUACACAAUGCUAGUUAUUUUAUCCAAAAGGAAACCAUAAAUGAUAUAGAGUUUCCUAAAUAUGAGUUAAAAUGAUGGCCAAUCUCUUGGGUAUUCUUAAUCCAUGAAUGAGAGAAACGGCAUUGCAGGAUUGUGGUUACAGUAGCUGCAGCUUGGUGAUCCGUUUCACUAGCUUGCUUCAAUUUGACAGACGUAUCUUUGACUAGCUGUCCGAUAUGCAAUCUUGUUUUAUGCCUGCCACCAAAUGACUCUCAGUCAAACCGUGACCACCGAGCCAGUGAAACAUUUGGGAGGAAAAAAAUCCACAAGUCAUAUUAUAAUAAAUUAGAGUAUACACAGACAAAUUACAUUAAACGAACUAUAGUGAUAGGUAGUUAACAACCCUAGCUGUAAUGUAGGUCACAUUAAUCCCGACUAAAAAGCUCAUCAAGGACAUGAGAGACAUAAAUCAGAGGGUAAUUUAUGGUUGGUAACCACUGGACAGUACAGUCUAUUGAUCAAGAGCUUUAUCUUCCUCUAUCUUGCUUCAGUAAUCUGAUUGAAAUUAGUUACUUAAAGAAGAUUUAAACAGUAAACUUUUCCUACAGAGACUGUCAUUAAAAAUGCCGUUUAGAUCAAGAGAAACUUAUUGCAUUAAUAAAAAUUUAAAAGUAUGUGCUUAAUCUCUCCCCAUUUCCAUUUAGUGGAAAUGAUUCACAUAGGAACGUGAAGGCCUUGGAGAAGCCGAUUGUUACGGAUCAAACCUUGAGCCAAGCCGGAAAUGUAUUAACCCGCUACUGCAUUGGAACCACAAUGUUUUCCUUCACUUCAAAGGAUCAAGUCAGCUAGUGUUUUAUUCCCUAGGUCAUAAUCAUAGUCGCAUUCUGACAAACUAUCGUAGUUCCAUGAAAAAAAUGAGAUCAUCGAUUCCACUAUUAACCACAUCGAAUGAUUCUACCGUGAUAACACUAUUCUACUCCGGCCUCAAAACUAUUCUACCCCUGCAACCUUCCAUUGCAUAUGCUCAAUCAUAUUUUUAUGGAUAGCCAAUAUACAUCUAUAUAUAUCGGUGAUCGGACCUGGAACCCAAGAGAAACCAGAAAUCUAAAACAGAAGACGAGGUGCAACUCACAGCUUCUCACGGAGAUCGGGGGUGUCCUUGGCGGUGCCGAGGGCGUUGACGAGGCGCUGGAAGGUGGAGACGGCGGUGUUGAUCUGGAAGACCCCCGCCGCCACGGCCUGCGCGGGGUCCUGCUUCCCAUUAAUCACCUCCCUCCUCCCUACCGUCUGCCUCCCGCUCACGAGGUCGGCGAAGCUCAUCUCUCAAACCGACCCCCGAUCCUCUUCUCCGACAACCCUUAGCUCGAAUUUCCCCUCCAAAAACCGCCCUCCCUUUCAGAUAAAUAGUUUUGGAAGCAGCGUUGCCCUAUGCCCGCCGGAAUCUACAGCUCCGGCGACCAUCGGAUUUCCCUCCCAACCAGAGUAAUUCGGAGACCGGAGUAUCAAUGCGAGAGAGAGAGAGAGAGCGAGAGAGAGAGAGAGAGAGAGAGAGAGAGAGAGAGAGAGAGAGAGAGAGAGAGAGAGAGAGAGAGAGAGAGAGAGAGAGAGAGAGAGAGAGAGAGAGACGUAGUNNNNNNNNNNNNNNNNNNNNNNNNNNNNNNNNNNNNNNNNNNNNNNNNNNNNNNNNNNNNNNNNNNNNNNNNNNNNNNNNNNNNNNNNNNNNNNNNNNNNNNNNNNNNNNNNNNNNNNNNNNNNNNNNNNNNNNNNNNNNNNNNNNNNNNNNNNNNNNNNNNNNNNNNNNNNNNNNNNNNNNNNNNNNNNNNNNNNNNNNNNNNNAGAGAGAGUUUGCUUCCGGCGACCCGGGGACGAGAGGGCAGGAGGUAUACGUUUCGCUUUUCAUUGCGUAUUAUGAAAGAAGAGAUAGAGCCAGCGUCUCAUGAUGCCACGACAUUUUAAAUACAGAUCGUGCUCUCUUUAGAACCUGCCUCACGCUCAAUUUCCAUCAACAUCGAUUCGUACACGUCUCAAAUUUGCCGACGGCCAGGAUCUAUUGGGGCCCACCAUCCGCCCAUCAGCGUGCCACCUGACGAGUGCGACCGCUUUGAAAUAACUGAACAGCCGGGAAACGGUUUAUCUUCUUGGAAUAUUUCAUUUGAGCCCUCCUUUCGACAAAGGAUGUAAAAAAAACCCUCUCAGCCAAAAAUAAACAUUUAAUUUUAUGAAAAAUAUAUAAAUAUUAAUUCAUUAAAAAUGGUUUUAUUAAGAUUUUAUUUUAACUUUGAUAAUCACUUAUUUUUAUAAAACUUAGGCUAAAUUUCCCAUUAAUAAGACAGUUUAAUUUUUUACAUAAUUUAAUAAUAUUUGUUCAUGUAAUUAUCAGUGAAAUGUUUUUUAAUAAAUUUAUUUAUUUAUUAAUGUGAUAUUAGAAAACCAUUAAAAAUAUAAGUGGUAUAUUUACUUAUUUAUGUAAAUAAAUUUUGGUUACGCACUUUGAAAUGAAAUUUACAUUUAAAUCAUAUCGUACUUUUAUAUUUCAGUAAAAAAUAUAACUAAAAAAAUACAUCUUUGACAUGAUUACUGAGAUAUUCCUUUAAUGAAAUAUUCUUUUUGUGAUUAAUUAUUGAGGCUGCAGGUCCGAUCGUUCCGUGCCCGUGCAUCUAAUUUGUCGUUUUAGGUAACGUGGGAAAAUAUGAGUGGAUUGUAUCUACGGGAUGUACGACAGUACGUACCGAGCGCCUCUUCCUCCUCCAUGCUCUUAUCUAGACUAGAGGGCACCUCACUGUUGCUCGUUCCAGCGGCAAUGGCGGACGUCUUCUCUUCCCUCUCCCCUGCUCCACCUCUCCGAGCUAUCCAUGGCGGAGGGAGAAGCAUUGAAUCCUCUCUCCUCCCACGGAGAUGGCAGCUUCUCUCAGUCCCUCCCCACCGUCUCAUUUCUGCCACCGCCGGCCGGAAGAAGAAGGCAGCGGAUAGGCCCGUUCUCUCUUGCUCCUGCGCCGCCCGCGGGACGCCAACUCCCACCAGGGUGCCGAGGAGGCAACCAAAUCGGAGGUCUUCUUCCCCGAUGAUUCCGGUGGUCAGCGAAGGUCGGGACGAGGACGGGGAUCUCAUGGUCUGCCCCGGUUGCGGCAUCGUCAUGCAGGACGCAGACCCCAACCUACCAGGGUUCUAUCAGAAGCCCCUCGGACGGAGGGCGGAGGUUUCUGGGGACGUGGAUGGAGAUUCCGGGAGCCUAGGGGAGGAUGAUUUCCUUGAGCUGUCGGAGGAGGAGGAGGAGGAGGAGGAGGAGAAGGUGGAAAUUGAGGGAUCCUUUUCCUUGUCCGACCUCGAUGAGGAUUCUGAGUCCGACGGAGAUUUGGAAGAGUACAGCCUAUCUGCAUCGGGAAUGGAUGAAGACGACGAUGUGCCGUCGGAUUGGGACAUUGAGGAGCUGGAGGAGGAAGACCAGACGGUGAAGAAGGAAUUGGAUGGAUUUGGUCCUGCCGGCGUGGGGUAUGGGAACAUCACCGACGAGAAUGUGAGGAAGCAGAGGGAGAAGCUUUCGAAGUCCGAGAGAAAGCGGAGGGCCAGAGAAGAAGCCAAAAGAGCCGUAGAGGACGCCGUCACAGUGUGCGCACGCUGCCACUCCCUGAGGAACUACGGCCAGGUGAAGAACGAGAAGGCAGAGAAUCUGAUCCCCGAUUUCGACUUCGACCGGCUCAUCGCCACCAGGUUGAUGAAGCCUGCUACCAGUGCUCCGGUGGUGGUCAUGGUGGUUGACUGCGUCGACUUCGACGGUUCAUUCCCAAAACGAGCUGCGAAGUCCUUGUUCAAGGCAUUGGAGGGGAACAAGGCCAAGCUCGCCAGAUUGCCGAAGUUGGUGCUGGUGGCAACGAAGGUAGACCUCCUUCCUUCUCAGAUAUCUCCGACUAGGUUGGACAGGUGGGUGCGCAACAGAGCCAAAGCGAAUGGGGCACCCAAGCUCAACGCCGUCUUCCUGGUGAGCGCUCGGAAAGAUCUGGGGGUUAGGAAUUUGCUCUCAUUCAUCAAGGAAUUAUCGGGCCCCCGUGGAAAUGUGUGGGUCGUUGGCGCUCAGAACGCCGGGAAAUCUACUUUGAUCAACGCCUUUGCAAAGAGGGAAGGGGUGGGGAUCACAAGGCUCACAGAGGCUGCGGUGCCAGGGACAACACUGGGGAUAUUGAGAAUUGCGGGAAUUUUGCCAGCAAAGGCGAAGAUGUAUGAUACUCCUGGCCUUCUGCAUUCAAAUCUGAUGACAAUGAGACUGAAUCGGGAGGAGCAGAAGAUGGUGGAGAUCCGAAAGGAGCUGCAGCCCCGGACUUACAGGAUCAAGGUAAUGAUAUGCUGGGUACCUUGAUAGAUUUCUGUGCCCUUUUUCUGGCCCAAUCUGGAGCUUUUUUUUAUGAUUUUUCUUUAUUCUCAUAGCAAGUUAGUGCUUGUUUUUAACUCUUCGAGCCUUCCAGUUCAUCAUUCUCUUCCGAUUCAUCAUUCUGACUUUAUUUUCCUGUGUGAUCCGGAACUGAAGAACGUGUUAGGUCAUGUUAUUUUCAGAACUUUCAGAUUGCCUUACACUGUAUAUCUAUGAUUAUUUCUGUUUGACUCCAUACAUUGAUACCUCAUCAAAAUUGAAGAGACUUCAUUUGCAUCAAAGUCGUGUGUUUUAGAGCAGGAAAGAGGAGAUCAUGGAGGUACCAUGGAAUAUAAUUUGAUCCUAUUCAUGGGAAUUCUGCGAGCAUUCCAUUCCAAAAAGAAUAGAAUCUGAAAACAUUUGGGACUUUCUGAGCGAUUCAACAUAGUUAUUCAUUCAUGAUACGUAUUUUCAAAAUACCGUCUCAAUUCAUCCUAUUUCAUCAGAUCUGGGAUGUGAUAUGGUAGUUCCGAAGGAUGAACCGGAUAUGGACAGUUCCAAUAAGAUUUCAUUCUUGAACAAAAAUCUGACAUGUACAGAAUGAAGUUUUCAUUCUCAGUUCCAUGAAACUUUUUAUGAAAGCGUCGUAGUUGAUUCUCCAGAAUGUGUUAUCAUUUUAGGCCUAUUUUUUUUCUUGAUGAUCGAUUCAACCUCUGAUAAAGAGGAUAAACCUUGGUUAUGUUACAUGUCUUCAAUAAGUUUAGUGCUGAUGGGAAAAACUUCUCUCACUAUGUGCUCAUUCUUGAGCCACACCUGAUGCCAUUAGCUACUCGUAAGAUGAUGCUGUCUGAAAAAGAACCACAGUUCAGGGAUUGAUCUUUCAAAUGUUAGUACAGUGAUUGAUGUUUAAAGGUGAACUUGAACAAUUUAAUUCUUAAGUUGUUGUUGUGUGGAUUUUUAUUAAUUUAUUUGCUCUAGUUUUUUAUUUUAAAACAUGAUGAGAAUUAUUUCGUGUUUAUCUCAGGCUGGGCAGACUGUUCAUGUCGGUGGCUUGUUGAGGCUAGACCUGGCGCAGUGUUCAGUCAGCACGAUCUAUGUCACAGUGUGGGCAUCUCCGAGUGUCUCUCUUCAUCUGGGCAAAACAGAAAAUGCAGAAGAAAUGUGGAACAACCAUGUUGGUGUGAGGCUUCAGGUGAAAAAAUAGCUGAUAUUUGUUUAUUCAUAAUGAACUCGCUAACAUAUAUGCCAGGAAAUUGAUUGCCAUGUUUCUAUCAAGGGUUACUACUGAGCGUUGAUUUUAAUUUCGUUAUUAUUAAAAUAAUCAUUUUUAUUCAUAUUUUGUUGAAAUUGAUUGGAUCAUUUAGGAUUGCGUUAAAAUUAAAAAAAGUCACAGAUAUUUUGCCUGAAUUAGGUGAAAAUCAUUACCAAAAAUGAAUAGAUUUCAAGAACAUGAAAUUAUGACGAGCCCCAAUCUUUGUUCUAUUCAUAACCAUGUUUGCCAUGUACAGCCACCGAUUGGGGAGGAUCGAGCAUCUGAGCUGGGCCAGUGGAACCCGAGAGAGAUUAAGGUAUCUGGAAUUAGCUGGGAGGUGAACAGUGUGGACAUUGCAGUGGCCGGGCUGGGCUGGCUCUCCAUUGGAUUGAAGGGAGAGGCCACUUUCCUCCUCUGGACAUAUGAUGGUGUUUAUAUAACACAGAGAGAGCCGCUGGUCAUCGACCGAGCUCCAUUUAUCGAGCGGCCUGGUUUCUUGCUCCCAAAGGCGAUCUCUGAUGCCCUGGCAAAAAAGAGUAAGAUCGAGACAGAAGCCAGGAAGGAGGAGGACGAUGAAAGCUGAUUUGUUCUCUCUCUGUCCCCAUGCCUCAGUAAGCAGUCUGGGGCUCUCUCUCUCUCUCUCUCUACAGAGGUUAGUCAGUCUUAGACUUUGUAGUUCCGGCUUCCAGUUUUUUUAUCAUCUACCCUCAUUUUUGUGCUGGUAUAGCGCUUUUCUCAAUGCAAUGCUAUCAGUCUGGAGAAACAUAUACCCGUCUGCCCUUCUUAAUCAGGAAAUAUUUUUUUGGUAAAUUCUUUAUUUAUGUCCUUUAUGUGAUGAAAUGUGGGUGUUCAUCUGAAAAUUUUUUCGCAGUUACUUGAUUAGAUCAUUAAUCUAGUUCUAAGAUCUGAAACUAGCAAACUUACAUGUUUUCGGACCAAAGAUUCCCGUUCCAAUCAUCUCAUUAUUUCGCUAAUCGAAUGAUUAUUCAUUCCACAGGUUCUUUUUAUCGCGGCAUCAUGUAUACUUAUAAUGUUUCACCUCUGAAUUAUAUGAUACUUCCCUAGAGCAUCAUUUUAGUGAUCAUAAACCUGAGAUAUGACUAGAAUUUUUUACAGUUACAGGCCAUCAAGAGGAGGAUUUUCCUGAAACAUUUAGGAGAUGAGGUUCAUCUGUUGUUGGUUGCUGUAAUUAGUUGCAGGUUUGAGAUUAAGCUAAUUGAAAGUUUAUUCACAAUAAAAUCUGAUCGGAAGCAGAGUUUUUGCCCAUCUAAUUUUUUUUGAUAAAUGUAGUAAAAGAAAUUAGUUUAUUUUUUAUUGCAUUAUAAUGAUUUUUUAGCAGGGUGAUCAAUGUGCCGGGUGGGCCCAAAGCCUCACUUGGCCGUGGCUAUUUUCCCUGCUUUGUUCUUCGAAAUAUAUAUAUAUAUAUAUAUAUGAUAUUUUCUCUCAAAAUAUGUUGUGAUAAAUUAUUUAUUGCACUAGCUUGCCUCUUUAAUAAUUUUUUUCUUUGGGUUUCUGCUCUCCAAUAAUGGUCUUCUGACCCAGACAGGUCGGUAAUUUGACUAUUAGCAAUAAAUGAUAUGAUUUUUCUGAAAAAAUAUCUUAAAAUUAUUUAUUGAACUAGUUAGCCUCUUUUAUUAUUAUUAUUAUUAUUUUUAUUAUUACUAUUACUAUUACUAUUAUUGUUGGGUUUUUGCUGCUCUCCGAGAAUGGGUCUGCUGGCCCAGGCCUGUUGGAACGAACCUGCGGGAGGCCCACACGUGUAGCUGCGCAUGGAGACCCAUCCGGGCCUCUCCACACGUGUUCACCUCCCCACCUAUAAAGCGAACCCCCACCUCCCUAGAGAAACCUCUGAAACUCUUCUUACCGCCGCCGCCGCCGCCGCCGCCCCCGCCGCCGUUGAGAGAGAGAGAGAAAGAGUGAGAUCGCGGGCAUGGCCGAUCGUCAGCCCGGCCCACAGCGGCCGGGCGGCGCCGCCGCCAUCUUCCGGGGGCUCCGGCAGCGUCCCCUCAACUCUUCCCAGAUUCUCGGGUUCCUCACGCUGGCGGUGUCGGGAGGGAUCCUCCUCCUCCUGACGGGGUUGACCCUGACGGCCGCCGUCAUGGGCCUCAUCUUCUUCUCCCCAAUUCUGCUCCUCUCCAGCCCCCUGUGGGUCCCAGCGGCGGCGCUGACCUUCGCGGCGGUGGCGCUGCUGCUGUUGACCUGCGGCUCCGGCGUGGCCACGCUGGCGGCGGCGUCGUGGGCUUACAAGUACUUGAAGGGGGGGCGACCGCCGGGGUCGGACAGGGUUGACUUUGCCCGCAGCCGCAUCGCCGACACCGCCGGGCAUGUGAAGGAGUACGCCAGGGAGCACUACGGUGGUUACCUUCGCGGCCGCGUCAAAGACGCCGCCCCCGGGGCCUGACCCGGCGGCGCUGCCGUCCCUCCUCCGAUGCGCUGCCGCGGAGCCCCCCUCUCUUCCUCUGCCCUCUCUCUCUCUCUCUCUCUCUCUCUCUCUCUACUCUAUUGUAUGUCUCUCUCUCUCUCUCUCUCUCUCCUCCNNNNNNNNNNNNNNNNNNNNNNNNNNNNNNCUCUCUCUCUCUCUCUCUCUUCUCUCUCUAUCUAUUGAUGUCGUCUCUCUCUCUCUCUCUCUCUCUCCCCCUGUUCAUAUCGAUGCGGCUCUGUUUUUUGUCCUUCCAUCGAAGUUCGAUCUACUGGUAAUAUAUAUGGAAUUAUAGUUGAGUUUUGGUGGGUUUUCAAUUAAAAGAAAAUAGGGAUCUGUUUUCGGCCGCGAAACUCAUGAAAAAUAAUGUAUUAAUAUAUUCAUCAAUUUUUGUUCAUACCAACGGAUCUGUUUUCGCUUUUCAUCUACGUUCUAUCUACUAAUAAACAUCUCUCUAUCUCUCUCCAGAUAUAUAUAUUUAUAUAUAUAUGGAAUUAUAGCUGAGUUUUGAUGCAUUUUUAGAUUUUUUUUAAAUAAAUGAUUCCCUUAUUUAAUUAAAAGAGAAUUUAAAAUUGAAUAAGAUGGUCUACAAGGACUAUAAAAGGGGUCAAAUCAGAUGCGACCCAUAGUAAAAUGCAUCAUAAAGGUAUUAAAUAUAUCUUAAAUAUGCUUUAAGAUAUCAUCUGCCUUAAUAAAAGCUUGACAUAUUUAAAGGUUUCAUGUUAUAGUCUUAUAAGUAAUUAUUGAGCAUUUUAAAAUUUUAUUUCUUUUCAGAUUCUCUCUUUAGCAACAUUUUUUGUCACCUUUUUAGUGGAUUCAAGGGUUGAAGCUUCCAAGUCUUAUAGAUUUUUCAAAUAAAAUUUAUUUUUAUUGCGUUCAAAGAUGAGAUUUCAUUUCUACUCAAAUGACGUCAUACUGAAUAUUAGAGAAAAUCAUAUCUUGUGAUUCAAGGUUUUAUUUUUGAUCUUCUCUAGCUCUAGAUUCAUGUAUUGUGAAUUUAAAUCUCAAAUCUAUUAUACCUAUGUAACUCCAACUCUAUCAAAUAAUUAUUAUGUCAUUUCUUGCUGCAUCAAUUGGUAUUAUAUUGAGGAUUGGAGAAAAUCGUAUCUUGUGGAUUCAAAUUUCUAUUUUCACUCUUUCUUACCUCCAAAUUACUAUAAUGUGGAUUCAAGAUUCAAAUUUAUGAUCUUCAUAUCUUAAACUCCAUCACAUUGUCAUUUGAUAAUUUUUUGUUACAUUAUGAAACUCAUGAAAAAUAAUAUAUCAUUAUAAUGGUUAAUUCUAAAUAUACUUUUGAGUAUAUUUUUAAAUUUUAAUUAAAUACUAUUUUUAAUUAUAAAUAUACACUAAAAAUAAUUUCCCUGUUUUUAAUUUUAAAAAUAUUUUUUUGGGAGAUCCUCUUGUUUGGUCCAACAUGAGCCAUCUGAUAUUAUCAAAAUUGUGGGUCAACUUUCCUAAGCCCACCUUGAUGAGCAUAAUAAGUUGUGUCUAGGACAAACAUCACCUCAUGUGUAGGUGUAUCAAGAUCCGCACCUAGCAAAGAGCAUUAUAUAUGUGUGGUGAUAUUAGUUUCUUCACUUUUAGUUCCUUCGAAUUUACUUAAAUGUUUCUUAGAUUUGUUUUAACAUAUCAUCAUAACUAUACUACUUUUUUAGGAGCAUCUUGCUAGAAAAUCAGACAUAUUUGAAGGCUUCACGUUACGACAGUAAUUAUCGAGUAUUCUGAAAUUUUAUUUAUUUUUAUAUUCCAUCUAUUUAAUAAUAGUUCAUGUGACCUCUUAAUAGGUCCUAGAGAAUGUCUCGAUUAUGUGGAUUCAAUAUUACUCAAUUUUGGAUUGAAAGGUUAAAGCUUUCAAGUUUUGUAGACUUUUCAUCUAAAUUUUAUUUCUUGUGAAUUCAAAUAUGACAUUUUAUUUUUUUAAUGCAACUUUGGUUAAGUCAAUUAGUAUCAUAAUGAAGAUUUGAGAAAAUCAUAUCCCAUGAUUCAAGAUUCUAUUUUUGCUCUUCUUUACCUCUUAGAUUCAUCAUAUGUUGUGAAUUUAGAUCUCAAACUAGUUAUCUUUGUAACUCAAACUCUUAUAAAAUCAUUAUUUUGUCAUUUCAGGUUACAUCAAUUGGUAAUAGAUUGGUAUUCUUUACCUCCAAAUGAGUGACUAUGGAUUCGAGACUUAAAAUCUUUUAUCUUCACAACUCGGACUCUAUCAGAUCAUCAUUUUAUCAUUUUCAAUUGCAUGAUGAAACUCAUGAAAAAUAUUUGUAUACAUAUAUUAUUUUAAUUUUAAUAAUUAUUUAUAAUUUAGUACUCUUUUUUGAUUUCUAGUAAACUUUAAAAAUUAUUUUUUUUAGAGACCCCGUUGUUUGGCUCCAUAUGGGCCCACUUCACUAACCCCACUAUAUUUUUAUUUUAAAUAAUAUUAAGUUUUUUUGCAUUUUUCCUUUUUAAAAUGUUUUUAAAGUAGGCACCAAUGUUUGGUUCCCAUAUGGGCCAUCUGGCGGCGUCAAAAUUGUCGGCUAAGCCCACCUCGAUGCGCUUAAUGGGCCAUUUCUGGGCCCCAGAUCAGACAGUGUGUGUGUAAGGGGGGUAUCGAGAUCUGCACCUCCGCGAGUGAGGUCACCGGCUCUCGCUGUUAUGGCGAAGCACACUAUAAACGAGGAGUAGAGUUUAGAAAUCUUCAUUUGAGCUCCAGUCGGAGGUCGAGCAGAGGAGGUCAUCCUGGCCAUGGCGUUGAGCUCGGUGUCGUUCCCGUCGCCGCUGUGUGAGCUUGGGAAGCGGCCACCGCUUCCUCGGCGGAGCUGCGUCGUCGCUGCGGGGAAGCUUCUCACAGUGCGUCGAUUCUGGAUUUCAUCUGUUUGCGUCUGGGAGUCUCGCCGAUUGUUGUCCCUGCUGUUACCAGUUUUGGGUUGGGGGAAGGAAGUGUUCGGAUUUUCCUUGGGGGAGGCUUUGGAUUUUUCGGUGUGGGUGGUGCGUUUCGAUUGGGAUGGACGGGAUUAUGUGCAGACAUUUGAAGGUUCUUUCUAUUUUCUGAGGAAUAUCGAGGGCCGUGGUCUCGAUUUUUCGCCCUUUUGCGUGAUAAUUUUUGAGCUAGCGUGUAGCAUUUCGAUGGCCAUCUUGUAUUUUUGCAUGAAAAUUAAUCAAUAGACCUUCGUUUUUGAGAUGUCAUCGAAAGAAAUCUCGAGUAUUUUCUGUUCUAGUCUAAUUCAACUGAAGUAGUCCCAAAAAAGUGUGUUUAAAAAAAAUCUUCUCAAAAUGAGAGGUUGUUUUGUUUUAGUUUUUAGAACAGAUACCAAGUGAUUCUAACUCAAUUAUUUGCGAGUACUGUAACUGGUUUACAGAUGUAUCCAUUUGAUUCCAACAAAGCUUUCUGUCUUGUAAUCACUCACUAGGUCUUUCAAGGUGCUUGCAACCUGUAGUCCCUCUGGUUAGGGUUUCAAUAUGUUACCUAGGAUGCGCUUCUGAUUCCUUUAAAACACUUGGAAGCCACAUGGAAGAGCCCAAAAUGAGAGUCUUCCUGUUCCAACUUCUGAUAAGAAAAUAGUCCGACUACACCAUCUUUUCCAUGAUGUGAUCUUGGAUAAUUAUAAGGGAAAAUGUCUCUUCAGAAUGUGCUUAUGAAGAACCCCUGUCCUUUGAGCUGACUUAUUUUUUUAUUUAUUUAUGGCUAUUAUUGGCAUGAUCAUGAUCUUGCGCCUCUGAAUAACUUGGUUGGAGGAGACAAUUAUCCUAAUUUCCCUCUUUCUUCACAUGUGCAACAAGAACAUAGAUAUAUGCAUUUGCAUCCUAAGUUUGUGAACCAUCAUUUGACAAGAAGAAAGAGAGGAGGGGCAUGAGUAUCUCAAUAAACCAUAGUUAAUUGUUGCAUAUGCAUGCCAUUUUCAUCGGGUACUGUAAUAAGUAAUUUCUCUCCAGGAAUAGCGGCAUUAAAAUUUUUUUUUUCCGCUAUCGGGUCUUCUCUGGAUGUAUAAGCUUAUUGGAGAUGUAAUGUCCAAGGUUCAUUCUGCAAUCCCAUUUCUGAAAUUAGGAAGGAUUAUACAUACCCAUGUACAUAUGGAUGUGAAGAUAUUGAAGCAUCGCUGAUCGCUGAUGGAGAUGGAUAAAGAAUUUGUGGUUUAGGUUAUAUAUAUUUGAAUAAUAUGUGGAAGAAUAUAUAUGGGAGCAUGCCGGAGUGUUGACGAAGGUGAAGAAGAAUCUGUGGUUUAGGUUUGUAAAGGCUGAGACUUCGUCUUCCAACUUGGGGGCUGUGUUGGAGAUAUCCAGAUAUAUCAAUCACAAGAAGCAAACCUGCUGGAAGAGAUUUAGAGCUUGUCCUAUAAGAGUCUCUGAUGAUCACGCUGGUAUUUGCAGUAGAAAUCCCUAUAGCUGGUCCUCAGUGUUUUUUUAUGAUUUUUGGAGAUUUCAAUCCUUUGAAAUCUCCUUUCAUCCAUAAUUCUCUUUGCCAAUAUCAUCGAGCACUAUCUUGAUAAGGUAUGUUCUUCCACUUGCAUUUUCAUGCUGCUUUAUUUUAAAUUAAAAUGCCCAUUUUCCUUUUCUCUCUCAAUAUCUUGAGGUUUGGCUGUAUAAUCUGCAAAUCUGAUGAUCUGGGCAUGAUUGUUGAGCAUCAUAUACCUGAAUUACGAUUAUAAAAGUGGGCACAGGGACAAUGAUUCUGACGCUGCUAAGAAAAAAAUGGAUAAGGGAUUCUGGUUAGAUUUUAUUAUGUCUUUGAUGUUUCCAGUUGACAAUUCGGACGAAUCUGUUGAGACUUGAGCAAACUAUUUUUAUUUUUUUAAUGAGAAUCUGUUCCGUGGUUGAGCUAAUAACAUCCUCCCUCACGCCAUCUUCAGCAUCGUAGGCUGUGUUUCUUGACAGGAUCUUAAACUCAGGAGUUCAUCUGUUUGUGACAACAGAGAUAAAACAAGUCAAAGAUAACAAGUCAAACUCUUUACUACAUACUGCUUUGGGGGAUUUUUCAGUUGAUAAUUCAGAUGAAUCCAGUGAUAUUUUAAUGCCUUUUUUUCUUUUUUUACUUAGAAUGAGAAUCUAAGCUGUGCUUGAGCUGCUGAUAUCCUCCUCCACAUCAUCUUCAACUCGUCAACUCUAUUUCUUGGCAGGGGCCCGAAGUGGGCGUUGACCCUCAGCCACCCGCUGAUAAUGGCUUCACCAGGAGGGCCGCCAUGGUGUGCUUGGCGGUCUCUCUGGUUGCCUCAAUCUCAGCCGUCAGCCCUGCGGAAGCCCGCAGAAUCAAGCCAGAGACCAUUAGAAAAAUCCGGGAGAAGCUCGAGAAGAUGAAGAAGAAGGCUGACUCAGGCGCUGGCGGAAGCAAGGAGAACCCGUCUCUCCCACGCCCCUCACUCAGCGAUUUGGCCGGGCCUCUGGUUGAGAUUGCGCUCUGAAAUGGGGCCAGAAAAAUGUACCUAUUAAUAAACUAGAUUCUUAUGUUAAUUAUUUCCUUAAAUUCGUCAAAUUAUGGUCAAUAUAUAAAUAGGUAUAUAAUGUAUUUUUUAUAAAAAAUUAUAGAUCAAUUCAACUUGAAUAAUUAAUGAUGAGAAUAGGGUGUUCUUGAAAUUUUUUUCUCAUAGAACUCAGAAUGAUGAAAUAAACAUGAUUAGAAAAAAAUUAAUGGAAGGGGUUUGUGGAGACGUCACCCCUCAAGAAAAGAAAAAGAGACUAACCUCCAUUCAUAAGAGCAAAAAGAAAAAAACAGGAAAAAAACCUGAGGAGAUGAGCUCUUCAUCUCUCAUCUGGUUAUUAAUUGUACAGGAAGAUGGGCCAGAGGAUCAAUGGGUUCUCUCUUCAUCUCCCCAUCUUCUCAUGAUAGCGAGAGAGAGAGAGAGUUUUAGAGAGAGAGAGAGGGUCGAUUCAUGCCCUCUUCUUGUUCAUGUUGGUGACAAGGUGGCCCAUCUGGAACCUCCAGUAGAGGAAGUAAGCGAGUCCCAGGCCCAUCAGCACCAGCCCCACCACCCACUCCCCUUCCUUCUCCCUCUCCCACUCCAACUCCUCUAUCCGGUGCUCCGCCCCCAAUCCGUCCCCGACGCCGCCGCCGCCGCCGUCCUCCGCCACCAAAACAUACACACUCCCCUCCCGCGGCGCCACGCCGCCAACCCGCCGCCCCUCUCCGCCGCCGAUCGCAACUUCAUCGUACACCGCUGCCUCGCUCCACCCGUCGUCGCUGACCAAGAUCCGGGCUUUGUCCCCCCCCCGCCACCGCCGCCGACCCGUCCUUUCUCACGGCGAUGUAGGCGGCGGUGGCGCCGCCACCACCGACGCCGCCGAUCAGGACGAGCCUGGCUUUGCCGUCAUCACUAUCCACCUUGAAGAUCCUUCCUGGCGGCGCCUGUAAGGCCAGAAAGUACCCCUUCGUGCUGCGCGCGAAUCCGGCGAGGCCCACGUGGCCGCCCUCCCCGUACGCCGCCGACGAGGAGAAGACGGUGACUUCUCCCUGGAGGUCAACCCUCCAGAUAAGGUUAUCCCCGGAGCUGGUGACGAAGGCGGCGCCGCUGGAGGGAUCGACGGCCACGGCGGCGGGCGGGGCGGAGGAGGGGAGAGGAGAGAGGAAGAUGCGUCGGUGGGGCGGGGAGUUGCAGGUCGUAGGCGGCGAUGUGGGCCGCGGCGCCGCCGGCGCCGGCGACGGCGGCGAGGAGGCGGCGGCGGCGGUCGUCGAGGGCGAUGGCGGGGAAGUGGGAGUUCGGGGGGAGGAGAGGAUCGUCGAUGAUGGUGUCGAGGACGCCGGCGUCGGAGACGGAGGAGACGACGGGGAGGUCGCCGGAGCCGACGAGGAAGUGCUGGGCGGAGGGGUCCCAGAGGAGGGAGGAGGGGCGGAGGGAGGGGGAGCGGAAGGAGAUCUCGUGGCGGCGCCGCCCGGUGGCCGCAGCGGCGAGAAGGAGGAGGAGGACAAGGAAGAGCGGGGUGUUCGCCGGCGAGCGGCGGCGGAGGAGGGCCAUCGCGUUUCCCGGCGAGGUCGAUCGUCUCUGGGCAAAUUUCUCCUCGUAAAGGCGUCGCCUUUAUCGGCCUCUGGGCAGAUCGGCGGCGGCGGAGCGAUCUCUGGUUUAUACUUUAUACCUUAACCAAACGGUCGUCGUGGGCGGCCAAACUCCGGGUUCCGGCCCGGCCCGAUCAACUUUUUCUCCCAAAACCUAUAUAUAUAUUUAAAUCCCAGCAAUAAAAAAGCCCGGGAAAACAAAUUUCGGGCCGACGAUUUUGUUCAAAAGCCCAUCAAUGAAUUUUGGGCCGAAUUCUAGGGGAGGCGUGGGCUCGGCCCGAUGUUCCACACUAGAAAGAGCAAGUCAUCGGGGUAUUUCCCAAAUGCGGUUGGGUAUAACCAUUCAUAUUUUUCCUGAAAUGGAUAUAAACGCAAAAAGUUUAUUUUUUCAGUAGAUCUACCUUCACUUGUCUUUUGGUUGUAUUUUCAGGCAUAACUAUUUAGAAAUUAUCAUUUAGGAAGAGAUCCAAAAUAAGAAAGUUGUGUUUUAAAAAAUACCUUUUAGAAAGAAAAACUAGCUCAUGCUUUAAACAAGUCAACAUACGGGUCAACUCAAGUGAGUCAUCUCAAUAAAACGGUGUCACUAUUGGAAAGUAAAAUAAUGAGGAGAAAGAAACUUGUCAAAAAGAAGAGUUAAGUGUUGACAUGUAUGUUAACUCAUCAACAUGUAAGUCAAACUCAAGAGAGAGAGAGAGAUAAAUGAGGAUUCUUUCUAAGAACUAAACAUUAGAUGUCUCAUACCAUAUUGAUAGCUCCAAGAACAUCUUUAGUCAAUCGUAAUGAAUCCUAACACAUCAAAAGAUUAAAAUGUGUACAAUCUCUUGUUGACCAGUAUGCAAAACAAUUCAAUCAAAAGCUGGUUGAUUGAGUAGGCUUACUACUUAAACUAUGCUAUAGGUUGACUCAAAAUCUCUUGUUGAUUAAUAUGCAAGAAAAAGAUUUCAAAAACCAUCCAAUUGAGUAGACUUAUUGUAUAAACUAUGUUAGGGGUUGACUCAAAACCUCUCAUUAACAAGUACAUGAAAUAAUUCAAUAAAAAACCAGAAAAUUUAAUAGGCUCAUUACGUAAAUUAUACUGUGGGUUGACAUCGGGAUUGACUCAAAAUCUUUAGUUGGCCUAGUAUGCAUGUACCACCAUUCCCUUCGUAGCACACUGUUCAUGGUAGUCUAGAGACCCACCACCCCUAAUAUGCCUUCAGCAUACCUAACAUCCCCUCAUACUAGUUGAGGGUUAUCUAUUACAAAGGGAUCUUGUGCUACAACAACUCAAGCAUAAUCUACUAUAAGCCUAACAAUACAUGAAGGCUGUAGUAGACAUUCAUCUCAAAGACAUCCACUUCAAAAUUGAUGAGGUAUGUUUUUUGUAAAAAACAUACCUACUGUAGCCACUCUCUUCAACACCAACACAAUGAGAAGCUAUCCUCUGUGUACUCUAGACCUUUCCUUAUUAUCGUGUGCAUCAGUCUUGUUGCCUACAAAUUGUAGCUAUCGGACACUACAACUAUCCAUAUGGUGUUCCAUAUCUUUCAACUGAGGUAACAUCUGAACGUUAGCGAGCAACUAAUACCACUAUUUGUGGGGCACUCACUAGAUGACCCAUCGCCACCAAAGAACCACAACACAUAUCUGACAACCUCAAUAGAAGCACUUCUUAAACCCCUUGACACACACCUCAAGGAUGAAGUGUCUUCCACCCUAGGAAGUCAUGUUACACAGGGCCCAACUCCGAGCCUGUCCCCAAUGACAGCGCAACACUGAGCGACACAACACAUGGCAUGAAUGCACGAUAAGGUAGACCACAAGCCUGGUGACUGAGACGGACGGAUGAAAAUGGCAUCACAAUACCGUGACGGAGCGACGAGGUCGAUGGCGUUAACCUAAUGGAGGAAGUGACGGAUGACACGGACAUUUAGUCUCAUACUGUAUGUAAGUUAGAAUGACCAGAGGCGGGGGCUUAUUUAAUGAGACCCACCGCCACCGCUACGAGCACCUUUUGGUUGAUCCUAUUUUGUGCACUCGGUAUUCAGUUGGGUUCACAAAGAAUCAUGACUCUGUUCGGUAAGGAUCCGAGUAGAGCCACUUGUAAGCCUUAUAAUAGUGGUAUUAGAGCCAGAACUAAGGUUAGUAACCCCACUUACUGGCCCAAAUUUUUUUCCAUAUGCCUGUUGAGAGACAAAUGGAAGCCAAAGGGGGACGUGUCGGAGCCGACGGCACGUAGGGACAGCAGAUCGCCCGGCUUGCCAAACAAGUCGAGUCGUUGACAAGUCUUGUUAACUCGCUCUCCAGCCAACUUCAGGUAUAGACCAACAUAAUCCAUCGAGACCUAGAAGACCAAUAGCAAACCCAAUCCUCCGACAAUGAAACCCUCGGUCGAAAGAUGGACGAGGAGAUUAUGAUGUUGUACACUCAAAUUGGAGAGAUGGCCACGUCCUUCGUGGCCCAACGAGAAGAACAUGACAAUAGGUUUAAUAGGAUGUAGGAGCAACUUGAUAGGAUGUAGGCGCACCUCGAGAGAUUGGUGAAAUUGAUUGAAUCCAGCACUACCACCACACCAACUCGGGUGAAAGCCCUAGAGCCCCAACCCUACGCCGAGAAGCAUAAUGCCAUGGUGAUCGAGAACUUCUUGUGAGACAUGCAAUGUCACAUGAAAACCAACAUAGCAUCAGAGGCAGACAAGGUAUUCCUUGCCAGUCUCUACCUAGUGGGACAUGCCAAGACCUAGUGGUACCUCCGAGUUGAGGAUACUUCACAACCAUUGAUAGAAAGCUGAGCAGCCUGGGCAUAGGAGCUCAGAACAUAGUUUCGCCCUGCAAACUCUAGACAAGUGAUGCGGACAUGAAUGUGUUAACUCAAGCACGACGGGUCCAUCUAAGAAUAUGUGAAAAAGUUCUCCACGCUAGUACUUGAGGUACCACGGAUGGACGAGCAAGACAAGCUCCACUAUUUCACAGAAGGCCUACAACCAUGGGCCCAAAAUGAAUUGUGGCAAUAGAAUGUUCAAGAUUUACGAUCGGCUUUGAUUAUCAUAGAUGGAUUAGUUGACCAGCUUAGAAACCUAAUGGAGGCAAAUGGGGAGAAGUCAAUCGGGGGCAGGACCAAAGAUAAUGUGCAAUAGAGGUGGCCCAAUAGCAGCAGAGGGGACAAUGCAGGAUGUCAGCAAGCUACAGCUCUCGAGGGACCCAUAUAGACCACUGACUAUCCCGAUCAGGUUGACUGGUGAAUGACUUGGGCUCGACUUAACUCUAUCGUGACCCAAGAGUUGACCCGCCCACUCAUUGAAGAGGUACCUAAUAGCCACACCUUUCCAUUGCCCAAUGCUUUACAAAACAAGGAAGCUCAAGCAAGACUGUGACAGCUCCUAUUCGUGGAUUGUGAAUUGAGUGGAGUUCUAGUUCACGUACUAGUGGACUCGAGCGCGACUCACAACUUCCUUGCAGUUUGAGAAGUCCGACGGUUGAAUCUCAAGCUAUCAACAACCACCAACCAGGUGAAGAUGGUUAACACUGUGGUGAGGAACACAACGGGCAUCGCAAAGGGCAUGACCACUCGAGUCGGGUAAUGGUACGAUCAGCUAGAUUUUCUCGUCCUCUAAAUGGACGAUUUUGGGGCCAUUUUGGGGGCAGAUUUUGCACUCAAAGCAAAGGUAGGAAUCUUCCUACACUACUAUGGACUAAUCAUAUGUGGGGGAGACCAACCGUGUUUCGUAUAGGGUUCACAGUAGGAGACAACGAAACCCAACUAAUCUUGGCCCACCAACUCCAGCGGGAACAUGACCCAUAAACCGCCACAUAUCUUGUGACAAUACAAGAGGAAAGGGAAGUGAACCCAAACACUCCUCAUCCACAAGUAUCCUCACUCCUUCUGGACUUUAAUUUCUUCAUAUUAGAACAGUUGCCCGCGACCCUACCUCAACGAUAGAAGAUUGAACAUUUGAUUGAACUUCUACUAAGGGAGAAACCAUUAGCCCGAGCUCUAUACAAGAUGACCCCAACACAAUUGAAGGAACUGAAGAAACAACUUGAAGAGUUGCAACACGUGGUACACAUUUGACCAUCGCACGUACCCUUCGGCACUCCGAUAAUCUUCGAACAAAAAAAGAUGGGUCAUUAUGAUUGUGUGUUGAUUAUAGGGCGCUCAACAAGAUCACAGUGAAGAACAAAUACUUCAUACCCAAUGCUAACGAGCUCUUCAACCAUUUGGGCGGUGUGCAGAUCUUCUCAAAGUUAGGCAUGAGAAACGGAUACCAUCAAGUGCGGAUCAAGGCAGGAGACAAACCGAAGACGGCAUUCGUCACAUGCUACGGGUCCUAAAAAUUCACCGUAUGCCAUUCGGGUUGACCAAUGCGUCAGCCACAUUUUGUACACUCAUGAAUUACAUUUUUUGUACUUUUUUGGACAAAUUCGUCAUGGUAUACCUCGACAAUAUUAUUAUCUACAACAUGAUGAUGGAGGAACACUUAGAACAUCUGUUGGUGGUUUUCAACGUCCUUUAGGUCCAUCGACUAUACCUCCCCACCAAGUGUGUCUUUGACACCUAAGAAGUCGGUUUCUUGGGCCACAUCAUGGGCCACAACCAGGUCAAGAUGGACCACUCCAAAGUGGCCGCGAUUGACCAGUGGCCCUCACCCACAGUCGUCACCAAGCUAUAAUCUUUCAUCAAGCUCACAAAUUACUACAAGAAAUUCAUCCGAGAUUUCUCUCGGAUUGCCGCCCCACUGAUGGACCUCCUCCGGAAGGACAGGAGAUGGGAAUGGAGCGCAGCAUGUUAGUAAGCCUUCGACCAAGUGCAACUCCACAUUACCUCUAAACUUGUUCUCUACCUCCCCGAUUUCUCUCUCUCCUUUGAGGUGCACACGAAUGCGUCGGACUACGCCAUCAGCAACAUACUAAUGCAAGUGGGCCACCCAGUGGCUUUUGAAGGGAGGAAGCUUAGUGACACCGAGCGAUUGUACUCGGUGCAUGAGAAGGAGAUGACCGCAAUGGUCCACUACAUGCGGACAUGGUGCCAUUACCUCCUCAGAUCUCACUUUAUAGUCUUCACUGACAAUGUGGUGGCGAGUUGCUUUGCAACCCAAAAGAAGCUUAUGUCCAAGCAGGCGAGGUGGCAAGACUUUCUCGCCAAAUUUGACUUCACCCUCCAAUAUAAAUUGGGGCAUGCAAAUGUGGUGGCGGAUACCCUCAGUCAUCAGGAGACCCCAGCAAGCCUCGCUGUGACUUCCAUAGCCACGAGGGACAUCGUCGAUGCCUUUAGAUCAACCUAUUUGAUAGACCCAUCAGUCAAAUAGCUAUUGCAACAGAUCGAGACUUGAGAAACCUACUGCUUUUGGGUCGAAGAUGGGGUGAUAAAUGCAGAUGGUCGGCAACCAUAUGUCCCCACUGGGGGGCAGCUUCAAUGACAACUCCUACGAGAAGUACACGACGUACCUCAUGCUAGACACUCAGGGCAGCAGCACAUGUUGGCUCUCCUCGUAGGCAACUACUUUUGGCUAGGCAUAGAGCAGGACGUUGAAAUGUAUGUGCGUACCUGUUUGAUGUGUCAACAAGACAAAGUGGAGCAUCGAUCCCCACAAGAUAUGUUCGAGCCGCUCCUUCCUCCAGAAGAGCCGUGAGACUUUAUCUCGAUAGACUUCAUCACCGAGCUUCCCCGGGUUGACAGUCACGACGCCAUACUUGUGAUCGUUGACUGCUUUUCGAAAUAUGCUAUGUUUUUACUUACCUGAACGGAGUGCAAAGCGGAGGAGACUGUGGAGCUGUUCAUGCAGAAUGUUGUCAAGCUAUGGGGGAUACCGCAGAGCAUUAUCUUAGACCAUGAUUCCUAUUUCACCGGGCAGUUUUGGACAUCACUAUUCACCUUACUUGGGACACAACUCAACUUCACUGCCUUCCACCUGUAGACGGGCGGUCAAACCGAAUGGGUCAAUAGCAUGUCGAGUAAUACCUCCGCCAUUACAUCUCCACCAAACAUGACAACUAGGUAAGUCUCCUCAACCUUGCCCAAUUCACCCACAGCUCUUGCUAUAGCUCGGCCACGUGUAACUCGCCGUUCAAACUGGUCCUCGACAAACAUCCAUUAUCUCCCUUGAAAGUGGCCAAAUAGUGUGACCUGGGCUAACUAUCGACAGCGUAUCGGUAUGCCCAACAUCACGAGGAGCUACUAAAGGAUGUGCGGAAAGCCCUCACUCGUGCUGCAUGAUGGAUGAAGAAAUACACCGAUCGUCACCAGCGAAAAGUCAACUACCAAGUGGGCGAUUGGGUCCUUCUCUGCCUCCUUCCUAACCACAAGAGUUUACAACAAUUGAAGCACCACAACGGGUUGGUCCCGCGGUACGAUGGUCUAUUUUGAAUUGUGGAAUGGGUGGGUCGUCUCACCUUGUCUCCCAAUACAUCCAGUGUUCCACAUCUCCCUCCUUAAGGUGUACCACAUGGACAAUGACGACCCAACUCGGCAUCAACCACACUGGCGACCACCAACGGUCUAGACACAUUUCACCGAGCAGGUCAAAGACAUCCUUGCGCAUUGGGUCGUUAAUGGGGCGGCUACAACCACGCUCAUCGAGUCACCCUCUAUCUGGUGAAGUGGGCCGGCAAGCCCAAUACACAUGCCACCUAGGAGAAGGAAGCCGAUCUCUGGCAGUUCGAGACCUUAUUCCAACUCUACCACAGUUGGCAGGCUUCGCUGUAGAUGGCGGACGUUCCCAGCAAAAGAGGAUGUUACAUGGGGCCCGACUCCGAGCUCGUCCCCAGUGACAACGCAACACCGAGCAACACAAUAUGUACCAAGUAUGCAUGAUAGGGUGGAACACAUGUCUAGCAAUCGAGACAAACGGACAGAAAUGGCGCCAUAACACCACAACAGAGCAAUGGGGUCGAUGGCGUUAACCUAAUAGAGGAAGUGAUAGAUGACACAAACAUUUAGUCUCAUACCGUCUAUAAGUUAGAAUGACCAAAUGCAGAGACUUACUUAAUGGGACCCACCACCUUCACUAAGAGCACCUUUUGGUUGAUCCUAUUUUGUGUACUCGAUAUUCGGUUGGGUUCAUGAAGAACUGCAACCACAUCUAGUAAGGAUCUGAGUAGAGCCACUCGCAAGCCUUGUAACAAGUCAUGAUAGACCUUUUGGUAAGAAUGGGCUAGUAGAUGGGCCCAUUCUUACUAUAUACAGUCGGUGGGCUAAGAGUAGGGCAAAAUAGAUAUUGGAGCACACAAAGUGAGUAUAAAUAGGAGAGAAAAGCUAGGGUUAGGAGAGGGAGAAAAAGGGAGGCCACAUGGUGCAGGAGAGGGGGAUCUCUUGAACAGUCCCUUGGAUUCUAGUUCUUCUAUCACAACUGUCUAUCUCAUUUUGGAUUAUUCUUUUGGUUUAUUGACUUUAUCUUAUGUGUUCGAGUAUUUUUUCAUUUGGGGUUCCCAUCAGGUACACUAGAACAUGCAACCCUCAUUGUUUGUGGAAACUAAGGAGUUCUAUAGUUCCUGAUCUUACUGUAGCAUACGACUUUUUGUAUUUCUGUUGUUGGUGAAGUAUAAUUUUCUCUUGAAAUACUAUUCUGAGGCAGUAAUGCAAAUAACUUAGUUCCAUGCUAGUCAGAAAUUAUUGCAACAUGUGAUCAGUUUAGAGCUUCCGUCCAUCUCAUCUCUUUGAGCUUCAAAAUAUUUUAAAAAUGAAUAAUACCUGGAUAAUUUAUUAACCACUACUUUUGGAGACUAUUUGUGCUCAUUCCAACCGUAACAAAGAGACAUGACUUUCAGCUUUCUACAUAUUAUCAAGAAAUGCGAUGUAAUGAGACAGGAACAUGCAUUUUUUUUCUUCAAACAUACCUUAUGAGGCGAUGGAGGCCUUGCUGCCGAUGCUGCUGCGGUAGGAGUUGGAUCUGGCAGUUGACUUCAGCAAGGUGGAUGUGAAGGCAAUCAUCAUCCUUACGGCCAUCUCCAAUCUGAUUACAAAUGAAUCCCGACAGUGGUGAACUCCCACUUUCUGCUCUCUUCCUUCUUCACCUCACCCAUCUGUGUAAAUUCUGCCCUCAAGAUGUGAUAGACACGCUUUGGGCUCAUUCUUCCUUCCUAAAUAGGAGCAUUCCUUGUGUAGCUCAGCUUAUUUCUGAUUUCCCCAUUUAUCCCCAUCAACAUCUACAAGCCCUUCACCCAUCAAUAAACAGCUUGCAAGGGAAAUAUUUCCUUUUUUAGUCUAUGAUUCAAAGGAUUGAUUGUUCUCAAUGGUGAAGAACAUAGAGCAAACAAAUACUGGAUCACUCUGUCCACAAAAUAGUGCAACCCAGAAAGGAAAACCAACAUAGAUUCAAUAUAUGCCGAGCUUUAUGUUCUGACAAAGUUCAUCAAAAUGUUCUGAAAGCUGAAUCAGAAACAAAACUAAACCAAGUUUCUGCAAUUUAUUUGAAUCAAUUUUCCCUAAUAUCAGCUUCGAAAAACAUACACGCUCUAUAAUCUUCGAACAAAUAGACACAUCUAGGCCCUUCAAAACAUCUUAAAAGUACUUAUAUACAUGUACAUGAGGAGACCGUGCUCUAGAUAGUCUGGUUGAAUCCAAGAAGAAACAAACUGGGGAGAUACAGUAAAUGACCCAAAGAGCCAAAAGGUAAGGUGAGAUAUUAUCUACAGUUAGUGAGUUGACAUGAUAUUUGAUCUUAUUUUACCCAUUAUUUGUAUAUUUGAAAAAACAACACAAAAUUUGAACUAUGAAGAAACAUGAAUAGCCACACUUUGAGCAGUCAUGCAUUUGCUUCCUGUGAUACUUCUCCUCGCAUUACUGGUGCCACCUCCUUGGGUUACCUUUCCAGCUGCAUCCCAUCUCUGCAUGAAAGCAGUCUUCACCUUGUCUCCUUCUCUCUUAACUGCACCAACAGCCUUACUCGGCCCAGAUACCUGUUUUUGGGUCGCAAAGGCUUCUAGCUUACCAAACUGGUUAAGAGACUCACUACGGACAGCACUUCGAUGCUCAUCACUGGUAGUGGUCGACCCUUGCAGUUUCACUGUCUUGGAAACUGAAGGGGGCUUUGCCUGAUUUCUACAUUGUGGAAGAAGAUGUGUAGGUCCAUUAAUCACCUGGAAACAGUAAAAGGUAUCAACUUUUAGUGACUCGAUUCACUAAUCUUCUGUGGAAGUAUCAACUUUCAGUAAAAGAGAUCUUGUACAUUGGAAUAUAAAACACUAGUCAUGGACAUGCAUGUCAUCUAAGCAGCCACUGAUGCGCAUGAUUGUUAAAUAUCAUUUUUUUUAGUGAUUGCAAACUUUCCAACUUAGCAAGUACCUUCUUCCCGCAAAUGAGCUUGGGAUUGGGCUUGUGAGAGGAUAAAGGUGUACAUGCUGUCUUGAGGUUUAGCCGCUUAACCUGUUGUUUAGUUUCAACUUUCGCUUCCUGCAAAUCCAUGAGUCAAGCUCAUCAAACUAGUAUGACACAACCCUCAAGAUAUUUAAUCAUUUCCUAGAAGAUUGUCAUCAUCAACAUCAUUAUCAUAAAUAAUCAUCAUCAACAUCAAGAGUCAUUAUCAUCUUUAACCAUAUGGCAAUGGAAAAAUGAGAAUGAUUGAGUUUUAGAGCCAUUUAUAACAAGACUUCAAGCCAGGUGGCUAUCAACUCCCAAGAUUAUUAAAUGGAUCUGGUUGGAUGGAAGAGCAUAUCUUUCUAUGGCACCAAAAGGUAGAGGCAUAAUGAACUGAGAUGGUAAAAUGCAAAUGGAUAAUUUUGGAGGCAGAACUCUCGUAGAAAUAUGCCAUAUGAGUAAUGCAAGACAAAGAUGAAUUUAUGAAAAAUCAUGCUACUUGCCUUGUUCCUCUGCUCAGUUCUUUCACUACAUUUAGAGCUAAAGGCUCGAGUACCCGUUCCUGAUGGUAGCCGCAUUGUAGUUGUUAGUUGUUCAUCCCUGAAAAAGAACUGUGAUUCCAAUGAUACAAAUAAAUGAAAGAAAAAUAGCUUUUGGAUGAGACCAAAUACCUAUGUGAUGAUCCAUGUCCACUACUCAAGCUUUUUUUAGAAGAAUCAUAUCUAGGUAUGGAAACAGUUUUUAGGUCAGAUUGUUUCUCACUUUUGGAGGAACUCUUCCAGAGCCAAUCAAAUUAGAGUAUAUGUCAGUUUGAGCCAAAACAAGAUUUAUUAUUUUCAGAUCGGAAAGAGUCAUAUACAUACCUUCUACUCCCUGCUUUCGCUUUCGCUUUCUCUGUCAUUUUAUCAGAAUCCUACAAGAAGUACACAUCAAAGAUUAAAAUUACAUAUGUGAUGUAGAAGUAUCCACCACCAUGAUUUAAGAGCAUAGUCGCCUAAAUUCGUCAUCCCUUCAAUCAUCUAGCACAUAGAUUUGCUAAUCUAGGUUUCUGUCCAAUUGUUAAAAGAAACUAUGGUAGAAAGAGUAAAUAUCUCAGUAAGUGAAUAUAUAUCCAAUAUACAUAUCAGACAAAAAAUCCUCACUCUAUAAUAAAAAAUUGGGGAAUUUCUGAAUCUGAGUAAAUCAUAAAAAAUUAUAAAUCAAUUUCUUGCCUCAAGCUUCAUGUUUCUCGGUGCAAUAAGCAUCAUUGUUGAGGCCGUCGAAGAAGAAUGCUUCACUUUUAAUGUCAUCUCUUUUUCUAUUUUUUUCAACUCUUUUGCCGGCGUACUUUUCAAAGAAGAAUAAAUAUUUACAGAUGAAAUCUUCUUUUCAAUCUGCCCAGCUGUACCCUCCAUUUUUGGUUUUGUUAUUCUUGGUUUCUUUUCCACUGUUGUUUUUGCCUGAAAAUGAGCAUUUUCAACAAGAGGUGACCAUUAAACACUGAGCAAGAGGAGCACUUCGAAGGCAUAAAUAAUCUAUCUUAAUUACUAGUAAUAACAAAAAUAGGAAAUAUAAACAAUCCGAAGUUAAGAGUUGUGUUCAAAUAAACACAUGAUGCCUACCUCCUUAUUUUGUUAUCAGCCUCAUUAUCAAGUCAACAAAGGCAUUACAUCUUUACUAGCCAGAAGGCAGCUUUAAAUGCAUGACAUGUGAAAAAGAUAACAAAAAUGUUCAAAGACAAGAGGAUAUCUAACCACGUGGUAUGCUCUUAUAGUCUUCCUCAAACUGGAGGCACGAACUUUCUCCAUUGUUGAACUCUUAGUGGACGUAUUGGCCUUCCCAUCAGUUGCAGUUUCAACCUUUUUUCCAGAUUCUAAUGAUGAUGCCUUGAGGUUAUUAUUUCUGACUUUGGGAGGCAAUGCAGAUGGUGGUAUUUGUUCUUCCUUUCUAGUCUCCGUUACCCUAUUUUGAUCACCAUUUUGGCUUCCAUCAUACCAGGAAAAUUGGAUUUGAUAUUGAUCGUGCCCCAAAAAAUCUUCAGAAUUGGCUGAUACAUUGCCAUGUUCUGUUAUUCCUUCAAUGGAAGUGUCUUGGUCCUCUAUGCCAUUUUUUGCUUGUUCAUCAACCUCAUUUUGCUUUUCUAUAGCAAUUAAGUUACGAAGUGCUGUCCUCUUGAAAUGAGCUUCAAAGUAGGCUUUCUUUUCAGUAACCGAACCCGGAGUUGAAUACUUUUCGACCUCUUCAAGAUACCGAUUGUGUGAGAAGGAUGACUUCUUCUCCCAAGACAAAGACUCAGCUUCAAAUCUUCCAAAUGAUACAGAACUAGAAGAUGGGCAAUCGGCCUGCACAUGUUCAACAAAUAGAGUAUUGAACACCCAUUCAAGCCGAUCAAAUGCAAUUGACUUCAGGUAAGUUACUCGCCAAACUUCAGGUAAAUUAAGAAGCUGAGAUUGACUUGAAAAUUUCAAGAUAAAAAAACGACAUAUAUUUUGCUAGGUUGGUGAGAAACAUUGGAAGACCAGACACAAUAUAAUCGCUGACAUAUCAAUUAUAUUAUUGGAUUACGUAUAAUGUUGAUUUAAUAUGCCAUUUGACCAACCUACUCUCAUCUAUAUAACAAUAAAACACUCUAUAGAACACUAUUGCAAAGUACCAAUGAAACAAAUUAAAAUCUUCAGGUCCAUAUCUUGGAUUUUCAGUAAACAGGGAGAUGUUUCCACAGAUUUAAAUACCCAAAAAAAAAACCCAAAUACAUAAAAACAUUUUCCUUGGUAUUGAGAACGGAAGAUGCCAAAGGAAAAGGACCAAAAACUUAUUACUUUAGUGGCAGGGCAUUUGGAUAAUAUUCAAGAUUGACACUUGAAAUCCGAAAUCUGAUACUCAGCUCAAAACCAGUAGUUUAUUGAUAAACUAUUUAAACUGUUUUGAUAGAGGUAAGGUUCUCAAUUAGGACCUAGCAAAGCGAUAAUGGACAGCAGUGGUUGGCGAAUGAUAGUAAUAGGUCACGAUGGGUAACAAGAUUCGUAGUUAGUGAUAGGAACAAUGUUGGUAAGUGACAUGGGUGGCGAGCGACAUGAGACCACAGAUGCUGAUGAUAGUCCACGGCAUUAGUGAAAGCCAAAAGUUAAACUAGCAAACAAUAGUUGAUCAUAAGGGGCAAUUAGACAAUUUAAAGUCGUUCUGUCAACCAUUAGCCACAAUUAUGAUAAUUCUUAAAAAUAAAUUGUGGUAUGUUGUGGAGGACUUUGUAGAGGAAAGUUGUGAAGAUGAUGUGGUAGGUAGUAGUCACCUCUUUUUAGAGCUCUUACACCUAUGAAGAAUUAAAAUGGGACUUAGACACAAAAACAUGUGUUCUAAGCUUUCAUUAACAUAUAAGUGAAAAUAACUUGAAGAGGUAAGUUACAUUUCAAAUAUGAAAUAAGUGUCCAUCAAUUGAUCCGAUUUUUCCAUCAAACUUGAAGAGGUAAUGCAAAAUUUUUCCAACAUUUAAAUGACGCGACCAUAAAUUCUGAAGUUAACGAGCAAUGAAGACAUUCAUUGUAUGCAUAGUUGAAAUUGCAGAUUUCAGAUCCCAAUACACAACCAACGGCAGCCACUACCAAGAGCACUUAUCAAUGAUCCUAAAACCUGAUAUGCUUGGGAGGAUGCGUAUCAUGAAUAUGUUGCAACAGCCAAGCACAAUAGGCUGGUAGUUAUAGUAUCCCACCGUCAUCACUAGAUCUGUAACCGGGGAACAAAAUGGAGGCAAUAAUUUCGAGAUUGCUAAAAAGUAGUAAAUGAGAGAAAACGGGAGUACAGAGAUUGAAACACAAGAAAGAGAAGCUCCACAGGGACCAGACUAAGCAAAUUGAAAGUAGGACCUGAAAUUUACAGAAAUCUUCAGCCACACUGGCCAUGGCAAGCCUUGGACUAUCACAAGGUACCUUGUUCAACUGCAAGCAAGGAAGCUUCUUAGAAACACUUGAAUAUACAAUCACUAGAACUGGAUAUAUCUAAGAUGAAUCACGCUUCCAACACAUAACAUGGAUACAAGGGACAGCGGAUAAAUUCUUCAAUCAGACUGAAUUUCAACCAUGGCAUCGUUCGCAUUAAUUUAUUUCCUGCUUAGAUUUUUUUUCUGGUGACUGAAACAAAUGCAAUAAAGCAAGCGAAGGAUAGAGACACCAAGGCUCUACUAGCGAAAGUUGCCAAACCUCCAUGAACCCCCCCGUUACACUUGAUACCCCUGCGCCAUUAAUCCCAACAUAGGGUGGGAAGACGGGCUUUCCCUGUGCUCUUAUGCAGAAAAAGUUUGAACAGCGGAACUUCUGUAAGAACAACAAUAAUAGUGACGAGCGAUAGAAUUUUGCUGUUGCGGUCUGGCAUCUCCUCAAUCCGGCUAAAUCUCCAGAAGGAGACAUCAAAACCAGGACAUCUGGAGGACUAGAAAUAGAGAAGAGAAGAGUAAACCUCUCGGAACGAUCAGCUUCCAGCAGGAUCUCAGAAACGAUUGUAAGAUUCAGCCAAGCACCAGAAGGCAUCUCCUCUCCCAUCUUCAGCACCAAGAGGCACCGAAUCGACUGUCACCGGAACCAGUCCCUCCACGCCCCAAGAUAGAGACCGCCGAGGAUGCCCAACCACCGCCGAAUCCUCGCGGCAUUACCACAAUUUGGUCUCCACCAAAUCCCCUCGCAAAUGUCUUCCCUCGAUCCUCCAGUAGUUCACCUCCACAAUCCUCCCUUCCUCCCUUCCUGGGGGGAGAGCAGAAGCCGCCUCCCUCUGCCGCUGCCUUAAGGACUGUACAGGGAGAGAGAUGGAGAGCGAGAGAGAGAUGGAGAGCGAGAGAGAGAUGGAGAGNNNNNNNNNNNNNNNNNNNNNNNNNNNNNNNNNNNNNNNNNNNNNNNNNNNNNNNNNNNNNNNNNNNNNNNNNNNNNNNNNNNNNNNNNNNNNNNNNNNNNNNNNNNNNNNNNNNNNNNNNNNNNNNNNNNNNNNNNNNNNNNNNNNNNNNNNNNNNNNNNNNNNNNNNNNNNNNNNNNNNNNNNNNNNNNNNNNNNNNNNNNNNNNNNNNNNNNNNNNNNNNNNNNNNNNNNNNNNNNNNNNNNNNNNNNNNNNNNNNNNNNNNNNNNNNNNNNNNNNNNNNNNNNNNNNNNNNNNNNNNNNNNNNNNNNNNNNNNNNNNNNNNNNNNNNNNNNNNNNNNNNNNNNNNNNNNNNNNNNNNNNNNNNNNNNNNNNNNNNNNNNNNNNNNNNNNNNNNNNNNNNNNNNNNNNNNNNNNNNNNNNNNNNNNNNNNNNNNNNNNNNNNNNNNNNNNNNNNNNNNNNNNNNNNNNNNNNNNNNNNNNNNNNNNNNNNNNNNNNNNNNNNNNNNNNNNNNNNNNNNNNNNNNNNNNNNNNNNNNNNNNNNNNNNNNNNNNNNNNNNNNNNNNNNNNNNNNNNNNNNNNNNNNNNNNNNNNNNNNNNNNNNNNNNNNNNNNNNNNNNNNNNNNNNNNNNNNNNNNNNNNNNNNNNNNNNNNNNNNNNNNNNNNNNNNNNNNNNNNNNNNNNNNNNNNNNNNNNNNNNNNNNNNNNNNNNNNNNNNNNNNNNNNNNNNNNNNNNNNNNNNNNNNNNNNNNNNNNNNNNNNNNNNNNNNNNNNNNNNNNNNNNNNNNNNNNNNNNNNNNNNNNNNNNNNNNNNNNNNNNNNNNNNNNNNNNNNNNNNNNNNNNNNNNNNNNNNNNNNNNNNNNNNNNNNNNNNNNNNNNNNNNNNNNNNNNNNNNNNNNNNNNNNNNNNNNNNNNNNNNNNNNNNNNNNNNNNNNNNNNNNNNNNNNNNNNNNNNNNNNNNNNNNNNNNNNNNNNNNNNNNNNNNNNNNNNNNNNNNNNNNNNNNNNNNNNNNNNNNNNNNNNNNNNNNNNNNNNNNNNNNNNNNNNNNNNNNNNNNNNNNNNNNNNNNNNNNNNNNNNNNNNNNNNNNNNNNNNNNNNNNNNNNNNNNNNNNNNNNNNNNNNNNNNNNNNNNNNNNNNNNNNNNNNNNNNNNNNNNNNNNNNNNNNNNNNNNNNNNNNNNNNNNNNNNNNNNNNNNNNNNNNNNNNNNNNNNNNNNNNNNNNNNNNNNNNNNNNNNNNNNNNNNNNNNNNNNNNNNNNNNNNNNNNNNNNNNNNNNNNNNNNNNNNNNNNNNNNNNNNNNNNNNNNNNNNNNNNNNNNNNNNNNNNNNNNNNNNNNNNNNNNNNNNNNNNNNNNNNNNNNNNNNNNNNNNNNNNNNNNNNNNNNNNNNNNNNNNNNNNNNNNNNNNNNNNNNNNNNNNNNNNNNNNNNNNNNNNNNNNNNNNNNNNNNNNNNNNNNNNNNNNNNNNNNNNNNNNNNNNNNNNNNNNNNNNNNNNNNNNNNNNNNNNNNNNNNNNNNNNNNNNNNNNNNNNNNNNNNNNNNNNNNNNNNNNNNNNNNNNNNNNNNNNNNNNNNNNNNNNNNNNNNNNNNNNNNNNNNNNNNNNNNNNNNNNNNNNNNNNNNNNNNNNNNNNNNNNNNNNNNNNNNNNNNNNNNNNNNNNNNNNNNNNNNNNNNNNNNNNNNNNNNNNNNNNNNNNNNNNNNNNNNNNNNNNNNNNNNNNNNNNNNNNNNNNNNNNNNNNNNNNNNNNNNNNNNNNNNNNNNNNNNNNNNNNNNNNNNNNNNNNNNNNNNNNNNNNNNNNNNNNNNNNNNNNNNNNNNNNNNNNNNNNNNNNNNNNNNNNNNNNNNNNNNNNNNNNNNNNNNNNNNNNNNNNNNNNNNNNNNNNNNNNNNNNNNNNNNNNNNNNNNNNNNNNNNNNNNNNNNNNNNNNNNNNNNNNNNNNNNNNNNNNNNNNNNNNNNNNNNNNNNNNNNNNNNNNNNNNNNNNNNNNNNNNNNNNNNNNNNNNNNNNNNNNNNNNNNNNNNNNNNNNNNNNNNNNNNNNNNNNNNNNNNNNNNNNNNNNNNNNNNNNNNNNNNNNNNNNNNNNNNNNNNNNNNNNNNNNNNNNNNNNNNNNNNNNNNNNNNNNNNNNNNNNCUCUCUCUCUCUCUCUCUCUCUCUCUCUCUCUCUCUCUUCUCUCCCUCCUUCCUCUCCAUCUCUCAUGAAAAGAAUGGGUCAAAUAGAAUAAUUUUAUUGAUUGUAUUGGACCCUUGAGAAGCUCUUAGGGCCAAGCCUAUAGUUGUAGGCACGUGAUUUAUCCUUAAAAAAUAAUGAAAAUUCCAAAGCUCUUAAUUUUUUUUGUUUGAAGUUUUCCAAACGUAGAAUAUGAUGAUAAGGGCCCAAUUUCGUGUCAUUGUAAUUUUAUAUGAGUAAGGACCGUUUGUGUAUAUAUUUUAAAAAAUUAAGUGAAUAACCAAGGGUGUGAGAUAAUUGUUUAUUGGGUUUCUAAUAUUUCAAGUGAGAUAAAAGAGUUGGGAGGGUAUACCAUAAGUUGGGUCCCACCCAAAUUGGUCAAGUUUUGGCCUGAACUCCUUGGCUCUUGCAUUUGUUUCCAAAUGCACAGGCCAACACAUGGUAUCUUCACUUUGGACCACUAAAAGCAGAUAAAAGCUAAUAGAACAAUUAUGGCCAUUUUUUAUAUAAUUGCAUCCUCAAAAGUUACCCCCAUAAAGAAAAUAGGCUUUAUACACUCUUGGGUCAGGGUUUCAAUCGGGGUCCUAUGCAAACUGGUCUAAGUGUCACCAUGCACAAUUUUGUACUUGUGAUAGGCGGUUGCUUUAUGCUCUCUCUCUCUCUCUCUCUCUCUCUCUCUCUCUCCCUCUCUACACUUUCCUAUAAAUGCAAGCUCAUCCUUAGCCUUGAACAAGGGCCCUAGUUGACUCCCAUAUGAGUCCCAAGAUUCAUCUUGUUAGGUUGUGAUGUGAACCUAAUAGGUGGUGCAACUUUUUUCCAAAGUUCUUAUUCCAUAUUAAGGACUUAAAACUCAAUGAGUUUGUCUAAUUAAGUUACUGUAAUUCUUAUUUUCAUUACUAAAUGUGGGAAUUAGGGUGGAGGGAGGGGUUAAUGAUAAAUGAUGUUGAAGUUACAUAAAUAAUUGGGUACAAAUGGGCAUGGAUCAAUCUCAUUUGGAUCAUUUAGAAGAUACAAUACUUGGGCUAAGGACAAAUUCUGCAUUGUGCAUUACAUGAUCGGACGGUGCUAAGAGACCCAGGAUGCAUCCCAUCUUCCAUGAUCAAUGGUCGUUAUUCCUCGACAUGCUCUUCAAGAAUGACCCACUCUUGGUGAUCUCCCUUAGAGGCUUGUCGGUGAACCUUAUGAGGUUGUACGCAAAGCCACCUAGGAGGGUCCCAAAGAUGGGGCCCACCAAGUAGACCCAUAUCCCUUUGUAGUUGUGCAUGACAAUGGCGGGCCCCAGGCUACGAGCUGGAUUCAUCGAUGCCCCAGAGAUUGGUCUAUAAGUGCCACGUCACACAAAAUCAUCAAGUUAGGCAGGGUGAGCUUCAGUGGGCCAAACCCAUUGAAAUUUAAAGAAUAAUUAAAUCAUAGUGUAUAAUUUUAAAGAGAUAAUAUAAUGAUUAAAGAUGGCAGGCCACACAUUCUAAAAAAUAAAGAAUAAUAAAUAAUUUUAAAGGAGUUGACUAAAUACCCAGCCACGAAGACAUUCAGAGUGAUCGUUGACCCGACCGCGAUCCCGGCUAAUUCUCCGAUCUGAACAAAUUCCGCCCACUAUCAGGCAAAACCGUUUAUAUAUAUAUAUAUAUGUAUCUAGAGAGAGAGAGAGAGAGAGAGAGAGAGAGAGAGAGAGAGAGAGAGAGAGAGAGAGAGAGAGAGAGAGAGAGAGAGAGAGAGAGAGAGAGAGAGAGAGAGAGAGAGAGAGAGAGAGACGAGAGANNNNNNNNNNNNNNNNNNNNGAGAGAGAGAGAGAGGAAGGAGUGCUAACUGCUCUAUUGUCGGUGGCUACGCCGGAGAUGACGAACAUGAGGAGGAAGGAUGUGAUGAUCUCGAGAACGAAGGACUGCAUGUCCGAUCCGGCGGGGGUUGUCCCGAAGAAAUGGGAGGGCUUCGGGCUGAGGACCUCGUACAGAGUGAAGCUCGCCAGCGUGGCCCCACAGAUCUGGGAGAUUACGUAGAUGGGCACCUGAAAUUCAUCCAUGGAGAUUCAUCCGCCGUAAUAUAUCCAAAAAUGGCAAAUAAUUCCUGGUUUGGAAGAGGAAGAAGAAGACGAUGACGACGUCGAAGAGCACGAGAGUGUGGGAAAGAAAGUUCUACCUCUUCGAGAAGAAGACGACGAGGACGGGCAAGAGGAGAGGAGUGUGGAAAGAAAGGCCUACUUCUUUGAAAGGGAAGCGAGAGAUUCAGCAGCCAUAAUUUAAACAAAAAUGGUAAACACUUGCAGGUUUGGAAGGAGGAGGAAGAAGAGGAGUGUGGGAAAGAAUGGUCUACUUCUUUGAAGUGAAGUGGAGGAGGGAGAUUCAUUCCACAUAAUCUAUCCAAAAAUGGUAAAAACUUUGCAGGUUUGGUGUAGGAAGAAUAAGAAGACGACGAUGAGGAGGGAGACGAGAAGAAAGGAGUGGGGGAAAGAGAACUCUACCUCUUUGAGAGGAAAGCGGCGGAAGACGGCGAAGGUGAUGGUGACGGCGGGGUUGAAGUGGGCGCCGGAGAUGUGACCGACGGCGUAGACCAUCACCAUCACCACCAAGCCCCAGGUUAUGCAGAUCCCAGGGAACGAGACCGAUCCGUACAUCUUGUUCACCGCCACCGAACCACAGCCGGCGAAUAUCACGAAGAAGCUCCCCACCACCUCCGCGAUCGUCUGCACCAGGCACCAUAUAAAGUCAGCGCCGCUUCGAGAGGCCAGCGGCGGAGGUGGCGGCGGAAUAAACCUUCUGGAUGAGGCGGACGACUCCCGUGGAGGAGAGGCAGUCUUCCUGCCGGAUUUCUUCCCCUCUUGCAUUCUCCUCAUCGACGUGCUCCGCCGCCGCCGGCGUCGCCAUGAGAGAGAGAGAGAGAGAGAGAGGAGAAGAAGAAGUUGAGGAGAGAGAAGGAAAGUGGAGAGUUUCCGGCGUUGGGAGAGAUGAGGAAAGGGGCAGACUUUGAGGAAGGAGGGACGGCUGGCAGUUGGGUGGAGACCGUUGGAGGCUCGCCGGAGCAGAGGCUCCGCUUGGCCGCGGCGGAUUCGCUGGACCGUUGCGGCGUUGUCGGGGAGAACCCGUCGGCGGUGGAACACAUCACGGUAACUAAGAAUCAUCUCUUCGGACACCCGUUUAUUCCAGAAGGAUACUUUUUCUUGACUUACCACUACAUUAAUUUAAUUUACAUUAAUCGUGGAAGAAUCACCAACUUACCGGAGAAUUUUUCUGUAGUAACCUAUAAUUAUGUAUUCCACAUUGGGCAUAGGAUCUUCCUCGAAGUGGGCAGUGUUUGAUUCAACCCGUUGACCAUAAUAUGUAAGCUUAAAAAAAUUCACUUAAAAUGUUCGUCCUUGGAAACUAGAAUUAUAAUUUUUUGGAAACGAUAGUUGAACUUAUUAUCCUAAUUUUUAAAAUUAAAUAAUUUUAUUUUUUUGAUCUUAAAGUCAACUCGAUGCUUAUAAUCCAGUACAUUAAGAAUUUUGCUCAAAUGGGGAACAAUAUCAAUGGCUAAGAUCGUCUUUUGGCUGAAUACAUAUGAAUCACUUUUCAUAUGGAUAAAUUAAAUGUAAUUAAAGAUGUCAAACAUUUAUGUAAAAUAUAUUUCUAGUAAAUUUUACUUUAUUUUUAUUCGUUGAAAAUACUAAAUACCUCAACAAAAGAAAGGUCAUAUGUUGAGAUUGUGUAAGAAAUAUAAAAGAAAUCUGUAAGAUAUAAUUAAGAAUAAUCUCAUAAACAUGUAGAACAAAAGAGUUAGAACUUAUUAGAGCAAAGUGUUGAAAAAUUAAGUUAAAAAAAAAGGAGAAGAGAAUGAUCCAAAAUGCACCACGUUUUCAAGGUAUCUACCUUCAUAAUGUAGCAGUCAUCAAGUGGCAUUUGGUACAUGGUAAGGUGGUAUUUGGUGGAUGAAAGUGCAUAUGUCAUGCUUUAAAUCUUCAAUCAUCAAUAUUCUGGAAAUUUAAGGAAUGCAUUUUAUUUACACACUCAUUUUUAUGUAUUCAUGUUUGAAUCAAGUUUUACUUUGAAGGAUAGCAAACUCAAACUUGUGUUGGUUAGAUCCAAGGGUUUCAAGGAUACCGAGGUGGUAGUCCACAACGUACACCCAAUUGCAACUUUUCAACAUAGAUUUUUUAUAUUUUAAAAAUUUUAAAGUAAUAUAAUUCUUUGACAUGCCAUUUAAUAUAAUGUAUAUGUGCACUAAAUAUUUAUAUCACGAGAAUAAUAAAAAUAUUAAUUUAUAUUUUAAGGGAAGUGGACAAUAACACUACCAUUAAUUUUGUGAAAGAAGUAUGGGAGUAUGUAUCCACAAAAAUAUUCACAUCAAAGACAUUAAGAAAAGGGCCCAAUAGAAGAGCCAAUAAAACACUUGGAUAAUGCAUGCUAUAUGCCUCAAAAUAUUACUAUUUUUAUUUAUUCAUGUUUUAUGUUUUCUGUGACUAUUUGCAUGCAUAACUAAUUGAUAAAGUUGCUCAUAAACAAGUGUUUGUGAACAUAUAUUUGGUUGAUCUUGAAUGAAGCUGAAUAUGCUGCCAUUUGCAGACUUGUUGCUGACCAAUUGUUAGUAGAUGCUUUGACAAUUGCCAUUAGGCUAAGCUUGAGUUUACCAAAUACAAUAUAGUUCAGUUGGGUUAUGCCUUUCACAUUCUAUGAAUUAUUAUUCUCACAAUGAAUUUUGAGUUUUUAAUUAGCUUCUCUUCCUUUUCCCUCAUUGGAAAGUCUUUCUUAUGGGUGUUGGGCAGUUAUUAGCUUUGAGUUCAAGUUUUCAUUUAUCAAUAAAUGAAUAUUGUCUCAGAAUUAGUCAUAAUAUUUAUAUUUAUUUUUUUCACUGUUUUUUAUUACUAGUCUUGAAUUAAUGAAUCCAAUGGCCUAGUUCAACCCCUAUAUUGUUGUUCUACUAUAAAUACUAGACCCAAACUUUGACAAAGUGAGUAUGUUAUUUUUCACCCUUUCUUUGUGACCUAGGAUUUCUCUACUUGUGAUGUAAUACUUGACAACGUAUCAAAUCUUUGAUUGUAAAUCUCUUUAGUUUGGGAUGCCCCCACUACAAGACAUCCAUAUCAGUGAGGAGGAACAUGGUUUGUGCAUCAUGUCAUUACUAUCAAGCUUCAUUUAUGACAUUGGGUUCAAUGCUUCUAGGUAUUACUAUGUUUGAAACAAUAUCUACAUCUUGAUCUUUAUGAUUUCAAGGGUUUGAAUGAACCCAAUUAUUGAGGAAUUGUCAACCAACCAUCAUGGAGAUUGAAUCAGCAAAAUUUUCUUAAUUGGUCUCAAUAGAUCAAACAAUGUUGAAAGAUAGAGGGUGAUAGGUAUUUUUCAUUGGUGUUAAAUACUCACAAUCUAGUAAAAUUUAUAAUUGAAACUUAAUAAAAUUUAGUAAAUAAUGAUUUUUAAGUCUAACAUAGGGAGUAGGAAUAAUUUUUCAUGAUAAUUAAUUUUAAAUUUUAUUUUAAAAUGACUUUAUUUUUUUAUAAUUUUAAAAUAGAAAUGAAUAUUUUUGAGUUUUUAAAUAAAAGGAGAAAAGAAGAGGAAGAUAGAUGUAGGAUUUUGAAGGGGUUAGAGAGAAUAAUUUUGAGGUAUAGAUGUGAAAUUUUAAAAGAAAUUUUGGGAGGAAUUUUUGGAGAGAGACAUGGGGUUUAGAAGAUAUUUUAGAUGAAUUUAAGGUGGAAAAUAGGAGAGAUAAAAUGAGAAAAUAGAUGAUAAUAGGAGAGAGAAAAUCAUGGCCAGCAUGCCUCUUACCAUGUUAACCAUGAUUUCUAGACUAAUAUGUGAGAGAGGAAUCACAAAAAAGUGUGAUAUCAUGUCAAAAAUGUCUAAUUAAUUUUUCACUGAUUUUUAAGGAUUGGAUAUUGAGAAUAAAGCCAUAAAAUCACUGAACUGUUGGAAAAUCACUAGAUAAUAUCUAGAAACAUAAUAAUGAUUUUUAUUUGGAUUUUUUGAUCGAAAUCAAUGUGAAAUGGUUUGAAAUCAUUUCGAGGAUGAUUCUAGAUGAGUUAUGGAGGAUUUGAGAUAUAAAGGAAGCCUUUUCAUCAAGUAUUCUUCAAGUUCUAUUAAUUAUUUCUGGUAAACAUUUGAAAAUUAUCAUUCAUGAUAAAAUUCAAAUAUAAACUAAAAUAAAUCUGAAACUAACAUGGUCCUUUGAUGGGUCAUCAUUUGGAGUAGCAAAUUAUGUCAAUGUGAUGGCUUUGUAUUUUCAAGUCAUGUCACAUUAUAUUAGACAUUGCAUGAAGAUUGCCUAGUGGCCCUACGCUGCUCAUUGAAAGGAUUUGAUAGAAAGAGGGGUUGACGUCACUAUUAUGCCAUUUAGGGAAGAAGGGAAGGCUUUUGACCAUUUUUCAAAGGCUCUAAGUGUAAUUAAGAGAGACAAGGAGGUUCACUAGUCAUUAGAGGCUUUGACCAUGUGAAGGGGGAGAACAUAGAAUACUCAUUGCUAGUGAACUCUCUAUUAUUUUAUUUUACCCAUGAUAAUUGAUAAUAUCUACUUUACCAAAUGAAAAUUGAUAAUUGUUGAUGUGUCCUACCAAAACUUGUGCCUUCUCUAUUGUUGAAUCUAUCUAUUAUGUGAUGUUAGAUUGAAUGCUUGAACUAUGUGGUGCUUCAUAUGUUGUCGGAUUUUAAUGCUAUGAGCCAUUAGAUCUGAUAUUAUGCUCAAAGGUCUUCUAAAAAAUAUGAGACAAUUGAAUGUUUGUUCCAAGUAUUGAGCUACCACUAAUCCACCACUUGAAUAAGGGUGAUGUGACACGUUAUGGAUCAUCAAAUCAAGAUAAUGUGGUGAUCCAACCAUCACAUACAAAUGUUGUAAAAUAAAUAAAUAAAAUUUAGUCCCACAUAGGUUUUGACAAACUUUUGUAAUAGUAUAUAUGAACCCCUACCACAUCAUACAUCAUCUUUCAAUAGGUAACUAGAUUUUAUCACUAGUUCUUGAGGAUUUGACUUAGAUUGAGACCCAAGUGGCCCAAUGGGGCUUGGAACGCUUACCUCUUGGCCUAGCAAUGACAGAUCUUCUACCACCCUUCUGGUUGAUUUUUGUUCUUCUCAGAUGAACUGGUUUCGCUUCAUGAAAUUUGAUUAUUUAGGCCAAUUUGAAUAUAUUCAAAUUUUUUUUGCUUUUUUCCUCUAAGUUUUAAUGCUUUCGUGCUUUUUUGUAUACAAAUUCUAAGGCCUUUUCUUUGGGGGGCCUAUAAGGAAGAAUCUAAGAUUUCCCGCAUUUUUUCAAUAACUUAAAGGCAUUUUUUUUUCUUGAAUGCAUCUGCAUUCCAUCGCAUUUAGUCAAUUCGAGGUGGAUAAAAACGUGUAAUUUCGCAUCAAAUCAUGAUAUUUUUGGUGGAACAUUCGGCUGCCGUAAUCUCUCCGGGUUAGGUCGGCCGAUUUCAUCCUUUACAGGCGAUAUUUUGAGAGGUGGGUGGAAGCAAUUGAUCAAGCUGUUCCGUUCCAUGAAUGCAGGAGGAAAUAGUGGGCGGUGGAGGAUCAGGAAGACUCAUUCUAUCAUCACCGCCGCCUCCAAAUCCUGUGGCCGUCGGCGCGGCCACUUGCUGGCGUCCACGUGAGAGUUCACCCAACGACUCGUCUACCUUCCACCAUUCCCCGUCGCAAUCUGGAAAGCUAGAGGGGAAGGUCUUUCCUGUGGCCGGCCCGCUGGCCAAGAUUCCCGUCUCUCUCCUCCAUUAGUUCCCGCCGGUGGAGUAAGCUCUCCUCUCUCUCUCUCGCUAACUAUCUAACUAUCUCUCUCUCUCUCUCUAUCUAACUCUCUCUCUCUCUCUCUAACUAUCUAUCUAUCUCUCGGAGACCUGCUGCCGACGGUGGACGAUCUGCAGAGGAGAGAAGAGGGAGGGAGAGAGAGAGAGGAGAAAGAGAGAGGCGGACGUCGGAGGGGAGAUGGCGGCGGGGAGGAUUGCCGUAGCUUCGGCGGCGGAGGACGACAGGGACACUGUUGGCCCGUACUUCCUCCUGGAGAGGGAGGCGGGAACCUCGGGGUCAUCGGAUCUAGACGACGGCGGCGGCGACGGCGACAGCUCCCGCCUGAGCCAGCUCGGAUACAAGCAGGAGCUCGGUCGCAGACUCUCGUAAGUCCCCCAAUCUCCCGCGGACCUGCCUGAGCUGACUGGAUCAUCCUACCCCUUGGCUGAAAUCCGGCCUCAAAUCCUGUAGGAGCUGACCGAUCUUCCCUUCCGGCAUGUAGAUUAUCAUCCUUCAUGUUUUUUUCACCUGAGAAGCAUGAUCAAAGUAACCGGUAAAUAAGCUGGGAUUAUCGAUAAAAAAAUCAACCCACAAUGACAGGUGAUGAGGAUUUCCAUUGAAAACUGUAAAAAAGUCGGCUGAUUCGCCGACUGGUUUUUAGUCUUCGGAUCAAUUUUUCUGCAGGGACAUCAUCAAGGAUCGCACUUGAAACGUCGAUAUCCCAUUAUUUUCAUGCGGGAUAUCUGACUUUUUUUUUGCCAUCGCGACGGAGCUUCAUUCUCGCUCGUCUCCGAUUGGUUCCGACUUUUUUGACGCUGGGUCAACCCCACCCACCUCUUUUUCUUCCCAUGAUCAAUCAUCCUGGCCUUGCUCCACAGGGCAAUCUCCAACUUUGCAGUCACCUUCACCAUCGUCUCCGUCAUCACCGGGAUCACCACCACCUACGGCACCGGCCUGGAAUUCGGAGGCCCGUUGACCAUGGUCUACGGAUGGCCGGUCGUCGGCCUCUUCACGCUCGUGGUGGGCUGCUCCAUGGCGGAGAUCUGCUCCUCCUACCCGACCUCCGGGGGUCUCUACUACUGGAGCGCCAAGCUAUGCGGCAAUGAGUGGAGCCCCUUUGCGUCCUGGAUCACCGGAUGGUAACAAGUCAACCACUUUCUCGCUAAGAUCUAAUUAUUAAUUAUGACAUCUUAUUCAUCAAUUUUAUAUAUUUAUUUAUGCAUGGGUGACAAGUUGAUUAGUGCAAAAAAAUAGAAACCCAGCUGGAUUAGACUUGCAUAAUUUGACUUUUGCGAUUAGGAUUGAUCCCCACUGACAAAACCAUUAGAAAAAAAAAUUAUCAUUAAGAACACGCUUUGAAAGAGCUGACAGAGAAGUUUCUAAGAUCAUGAGCUUAGCAUUGGCUCAUCAUGUUUGAAACCUAAUGUUGUCUCGGUCAAGGUAAGGAAUAGAGCUGCUGUUGAGUUUUUAUAUCUAAGACCUCCAUUUAAAAAUAAAAUAUUUGAAAAAAAUGGCACGUGUCCAAUAAAUUUUCUAAGAUUAGAAAAUUUAGUAUCUAUACUCAUGCUUCCAAAGCCACGCUCCAUGCCUUCCGUUGGUGGUGGUGGUGGUCCAUUCUGCUUGCAAAUAUGGCUUCACACUCAUGACGUUGACAUCCCCCGACUACUGCAUAAUAAUUAUUCAAAAAAAUCCGUCUUUUUCAAUGCUUGGCUGAGUAGAGCAUGAGACCGGUUGACUUUGUUUCAAUUACUUUGAGGUGACUCUUGACCGAUGCAACUUGAUCUGACCCAGAUGCAACAUUUUCUUGGGAAAAUUUAUUCCUGACUUGAUGAGUUUAAGACUCAGACAAUCCAUCGUCGUUGACCGAGGGGAUUGAAUGCUUUAAGAUCAUAAGCAAGGUUUUCACAGUAAAAAGCCCGAAGUUUGUGGGUAUUCUUUGUAUGUCCCUUUUUAAGCACAAUUACACAUUAGUCCUGUUAGAGUCACACAUUAAAUAUCUUGGCCUGAUUUCAUUCGUUUCAAGGAGUACGGCUUCCUUCGUAGGUUGGGCUUUCACCGCGUGAAUCUCAUGGAGGGAAAUUUCCUUGAAGAGAUGAAGUACAAAUAUAUUUUAAUUGGGAGUAAAAAUGUAUUUUUUGUCUAAGAAGAGGAUUAGACAUAAAAUCUGCCCGGGUGGCUUCGUUGGACUAUAGUGCCGCGAGAGGCGUUAUCUGCACGUAGGAGCCAGCUAUUGGCCAGGUGUGGAUCCCAUUGGCAGUAAAACUCUUACAUUCUCUGAAUUUGAAUAUUACCCCGCUAAGCCCGAUCCAGUUAUAUGGAAUGGAUAGUAAAGAUAGAAAAAUGCUUUUCCUAGGGGGGUUUCUGAAAGAUAGCCCAUGCGUCCGUUAGAGGGACCAGUCGUCGGGUGAUCUUCUUCCUGGUUUUUGCUUCAACCGUUGCGGUGGCGGUGGGAAGAUUCGCCGCCAUUAAAGUGGCGGGGUCCUUGAGUUGUCUCUCUCUCUCCUCCAGGUGCUAAUGGAGGAAAAGCUCUCUCUUGGACUUGCUCGCCGCCGGAAAAUGGGUCCUCCCGUUGCUCCUCCGCUCCGUCUGAAACCUCGUACCUCCGGCCGGCGAGAAGUCCGCCGGCGAUGGCCCAGGACGGGGGAGUCGCCGGCGGUACCCUCCGGGGAAGAAAGGAGGAAGAAAAACGGAGACCCGGGGCUUGUCUUUUCUUCGGAAGUCCACGGCGGCGCUAGGGAUGAUCUGAACGCGGAGAAAUUCCUCCAAGAUCCCUCCAACCUGUAGUCCAAGAUCCCACGCGAUAUGUCGCAAGGCCUGCAAUUCGGGAAAAAAAAAAGAGUUGGUAGAGGAGAAAUCUAGUCUGGACGGGAUAACAUCCAUUUGUAGCAGACAGCAGUAGAGAGAGAGAGAGAGAGCGAGAGAGAGAGAGAGGAGAGAGAGAGAGAGAGAGAGAGAGAGAGAGAGAGAGAGAGAGAGAGAGAGAGAGAGANNNNNNNNNNNNNNNNNNNNNNNNNNNNNNNNNNNNNNNNNNNNNNNNNNNNNNNNNNNNNNNNNNNNNNNNNNNNNNNNNNNNNNNNNNNNNNNNNNNNNNNNNNNNNNNNNNNNNNNNNNNNNNNNNNNNNNNNNNNNNNNNNNNNNNNNNNNAGAGAGAGAGAGAGAGAGAGAGAGAGAGAGAGAGAGAGAGAGAGAGAGAGAGAGAGAAGUGAGGGAAAAAUGUAUGGUAGGGGGAGGAGGAGAGUGGCUCACCCCGGGUCAACGGAGCCGUCACUGUUCUGGGAGUGGACGGAAUCUACCCAUAAUAAUUAAUACUCGUUGCAUGAACGAACCUAUAGCAUUAGGCCAGCCUUCCUGCUCGGGAGGAGAGAUAAAGGUUGUUCCUUCUCCUUCGCCCUCCAGCGAACUGCUCGCAGAUGGCUCGGAAGAGGGAAGAAUCCGGCCCCCCAAUCAGGGUUCACGAUGAAGACGCUUCCGGCGUGGACUCCGGCCACGCCCGCCUCCACGAGCUCGGCUACAAGCAAGAACUCAAGCGAGAUCUCUCGUAAAACCUUCAAGCCAGAGCUCUGCCUCCCAUUUCGCUAUCUUCUCUGUGGGUUCCUCGAUCUGAAUCGCGGGCAUAUAUAUAUAUCUCCGCUGUGGGUGUGGCUUGCAGGGUGCUCUCGAACUUUGCCUUCUCCUUCUCCAUCAUCUCCGUGCUCACCGGGGUGACCACGCUCUACAACACAGGGCUCAAGUAUGGGGGCCCGCUGACCAUGGUGUACGGGUGGCUAGUGGCCGGGUUAUUCACCAUGACCGUCGGCGCCUCCAUGGCGGAGAUAUGCUCCUCCUACCCGACCUCCGGGGGCCUCUAUUACUGGAGCGCCAGGCUCUCGGGCAAGGAGUGGGCACCUUUUGCUUCGUGGCUCACAGGAUGGUAUGGCCUCCUUCUCCGGCCCGUCAUCGGAUUAGGAUGCAGGCGAGGGAUAGAACUUGCUUUCCAAUGAUGGGUUUUCAUCAAUUUGGCAGCCUCGUCCUCCUGUCACUUCCAUUUCUUCUGGUGGGCAAUUCACCCAUCGUUUAUAAUUCCAAGCUAUGCCCUGUGAUGAAAAUAUAAAAGAUCUCGCCAGGUCAUAGCUGCCUUCUCUCUGUCAAAAUAAACCCAUGUUAUGAAUGAGGUUUAAAUCAUGAGAUUUUAGUGGAGAUCUCAGUACACUAAACCACCUGAUUUUGAGCUUCAUCUGCAUGAACUCUCAGAGUUUCUUGCCCUUUUUCCAGCAAGAUUAAGCUCCUUUAUCUUGUGGAGUGAACCAUUCUUGUCACCCUGUUUUAACUCGGUUCCUUGGUUGAUUCCAUUGCAGGUUCAACAUCGUCGGCCAGGUACUCAUACAAGCAAAAGAUCUCAGGGAGACAUCCAUUUUACAGAUUCUUAUCCCUUCUGCCUCAGUCUGGCCAGUGAAGAGUCGUUCUUUUGCAGUGGGCUGUCACCACCAGCAUAGAUUUUUCCCUGGCGCAGCUGCUCCAAGUGAUCAUCUUGCUCAGCACUGGCGGCAACAAUGGAGGGGGAUAUCUCGCCUCAAAAAACGUGGUCAUUUGCUUCCAUGCAGGGAUCCUUUUCAGCCAUGCGAUGCUGAAUAGCCUCUCCAUCACAUGGUUAUCCUUAUUUGGGCAAUUCGCCGCCGCAUGGAAUAUCAUGGGUAAUAAUUUUAAAAAUUCAAAGGGAUUCCUUUAAACGGUUAUUACGCAGGAGGAGGAUCAUACGGUGAGCUCAGCCUGUUCGCACUCCUUUCAGGUGUCUUCGUACUCAUGAUCCUGAUACCCUUGGUUGCGACCCAGAAAGCCAGUGCUGAGUUCGUCUUUACACAUUUUAAUACGGAUAAUGAUGCUGGAAUCCAGAGCAAGCUGUACAUAUUUGUUCUAGGCCUGUUGAUGAGCCAGUACACGUUGACUGGAUAUGAUGCAUCCGCUCACAUGGUAAGCCAGAGAUUCUUCCUUGCGAGUCUUGGAUGCCACCACUACAAAUCUUCUUCCAUUUGUUUUAUUUUUUUAUUUUUUUAAAAGCUUGAAACUGUGAUUGGGUCCUCAAAGUGAGGCGCUUUUGAACCACGCUGGAUCUGACCCUGCCAAUCUAUUCUUGCUGUUCAUGAUCUGUGUUUCUAACUGCUCAAGGAAAAUCAAAAUUCAUUUGAGCCCUUUCACCUUGUGGCUCCAUUCUUGCUGUUCAUGAUCAGUGUUUUUAAUUGUUGAAGGGGAGAUCAGUUUUCACAUGAUCCUCUCAUCUUGUUCGUUCUAUUCUUGUAGUUCCCGAUCUGUGUUUUUUUAAUUAUUAGAGGAGAAAUUAAAUUUAAUGCGCGUCUUCUCAAUCAUCGGUUCUUGUUCUUGUUCACUUGAAACUUUCUCCUAUCAGACGGAAGAAACCAAGAAUGCAGACAAGAACGGGCCGAAAGGCAUUAUCAGUGCCAUUGGGAUUUCUAUAGUCGUCGGGUGGGCUUACCUGAUCGGGAUCACAUUUGCCGUGACCGACAUUCCAUACCUACUGAGCUCCGACAAUGAUGCUGGAGGCUAUGCGAUCGCCCAGGUGUUCUAUCAGGCAUUCAAGAGUCGAUAUGGCAGUGGAGCUGGGGGGAUUGUGUGCCUGGGAGUCGUCGCAGUGGCCAUUUUCUUCUGUGGCAUGAGCUCAGUGACGAGCAACUCAAGGCAGGCAUUGUUUUUUUUUUUUUCCUAUCAUAGAGUUUCUUCUGUUGUCUUCAAUUUAUUUUUCUUGUGUUGUUUUAUUUUCCAUCAUACAGUAUGCAGAUUUUAUUUUCUUUUUUAACUUUUUUUCGAUCUGUAGAAAUAAGUCAAAUGAUGGAUAAGCCCGCCUAUUUUUCAAAAUUUUCAUAGAAGCUCCUCAACAAUUGCACAACACCUGCUUUGGCAGUAAGCUCAGCGACGACCAGCUCAUGGUGGAUAGUUUUCCUCUCAAUGGUUUUUCUUAUUUUUUUGUUUUUACGGUCUGUAUUCAGCUCCACAGCCCGUUGACUAUUGGUUUUUUGGGUUUUUGGUCCUAGAAAUAAGUAAAAUAAUGAAAAAUUCCAUCCAUUUUCAAACUUUGCCCGGAAGUCCUUCAUUGACCUCCAAAACCCUUAACUUAGUAUAUAUUUUUGUGUGAUGAGCAACUCAAGGUAGUGGGUCCUUCCGAUUUCUCAAUUUACUCUGUCGUCUGCAUUCCUUGCUUACCAGCCCAUUCGGCACCGCAGUCACUAGAUUUUUUUGGGUAUUUUGGUUUUAGGUCAGUAGUAAUAAGAUCAAUGACGGAUAAGCCCAUCUGUUCUUCAAGUUUAGUUCUACCUUUGUGCUCUCUUCGCCGCUCACUGGCUUCUGUUCUGGCUUCAGGAUGGUGUACGCGUUUUCUAGAGAUGGAGCUAUGCCGCUGUCGUCGAUCUGGCACAAGGUCAACCGGCAUGAAGUCCCCAUCAAUGCUGUUUGGCUCUCUGCGUUUAUAUCGUUUGCAAUGGCGUUGACGGUAAUCUGACCUUCAUUUAUUUUUCUCUCAAUCUUUUCGGAUAUAAUUGGCGCAAAGAUUUUGACUUUGAUACUCAAAAAGCUGUUUUUAAUGAUAUAUCAUAAUAUUGGGUUUGAAUUGUUGUGAGCCCUGAAAAAUCUGGAAACACAAUCAUUUUUCUUGUUUUUCUGAUAUCAUAUUGGGAUCAAACCCACUGAUCCAGGGUCUGGCUAGGAGGUGGAGAAGGGGAACCCUGAGCUCCUGGUUGAAAAUAUUUUUAUUGAGCCGCAGAUAAUCUGAGAUCAUAAUCUUCGUAUUUAUUCUUUUUUUAUUUUAUUUCCCCUGAAGUCAUGAGUCAUAUCAAUGGCAAAAGUUUGUGGGUGCCAGGCCAUUCCUAAGGAAAUUAGAUGAUGAUCACUUUGAACUUUGGGUAGAACAUAUUGUAAAAAAAAAAUUGAUUUUCUUUUUUUUCUACGACUUCCGUUUCAGAUCAGGUCAGAGUCUGCUACCCACAGCUCAUUAGACUUUUCAUGAACCAAACCCCUUGGAAAAUAAUAAUAAAUAUAUUGUUAGAAUAUUAAAAACUUUAGCUUUGAGGCUCUGAUCCUAAUUCCUUCAUGGGGUAUGGAAAUGGUGGAAAGAUUGGUGACGGAAAUGGUGAUGAACCCAUCAGAGUCUUCAUCCUAUUUCCCGUCAUGUGGGCAUAAGAGGGUGAUGCUAGAAAUGUGCGGCUGGUUCUUGUUUUUAUUUUACAGAAAAUAAAAGGAAUUUUUACUUUUAUCUUGGUUCUUCCUCUUCUUCAUUAACAUAUUCAUCGAUCAUCAUCAUAAUCAUCAUCAUCAUCAUCAUCAUCAUCAUCAUCAUCGCCAUCAUCUUCUUCGUGGUGCAGUCCCUCGGGAGCCUGGUGGCCUUCCAGGCGAUGGUCUCCAUAGCGACGAUCGGCCUCUACAUCGCCUACGCGCUGCCCAUCUUCUUCCGGGUGACGCUGGCGCGCAAGUCCUUCGUGCCGGGGCCCUUCAACCUCGGCCACUGGGGGGAGGCGGUGGGCUGGACGGCCGUCCUCUGGGUCUCCACCAUCACCGUCCUCUUCUCCCUCCCCGUCGCCUACCCCGUCACCGCCGACACCCUCAACUACACCCCCGUCGCCGUCGGCGGCCUCCUCACCAUCGUCGUCUUCUGGUGGGUCCUCUCCGCCCGCCACUGGUUCAGAGGCCCCGUCACCAACCUCGAGCUCCAGCCGUAGGAGCUUCGUCUCCCUCCCUCCCCUCCAUUCUCUUCUCUGUGUCUCUGGUUUUCACUCUUCUCUCUCGUCCUUCUAUUCUAAGCUUCGGUCAAUGCGAAGCUCCUCCGGUAUCUGUAAUGGAAGCGUAGAUGGGAAUGGAUCGGUGGGUUUCCUUCUCUCUUCCUCCGUUCUUCCUCUUCCAAGAUUCUAGUGAGAGAUGAGCGAGCAUCAGGGGUGAAUCCGCCGCAUCGGAAGAGCUCCAACGUGGGUAUGUCUCAAUAUAAUCAAAGUUUUCAUCUUUCUCUCUCUUGAUGAAGAGAGAGAAGUGGGUUAUAUACAGGAAUCUCAGAAGGGUAGGGCCCGGUGGCGGGGUCUGUACAGUUUCAGAGCCUCUUUCGGGUAAGAGAUCGGUGGUUGUGCCAUGUCCAGAGGGCGAGAAACACGGCGAGGGAGGCCCCCAUGGAGGCCCAGAGGACGAUCAGCCACUGCGGCAUGGGAUCGGGGAAGAGACCUGCCGCAGGCAGCACCAUCAACAAGGGCAGCGGGUCAGCUCAUCAGGCCACCACGGAGCCGCUGCAAACGGAGAAGAACAGCUCAGGACCGGAGCUCUCACCUCUUCCAAACUUGACGCAGAUGAGGAGCUCCACUAUGCAAAUGGCCAGCGACAGCCAGCAGAACGCCCCCAGCUUCUUCAAUGGCUUGCUGAAACACCCACAAAUCAGCUAGAGGGAGAUGGCGAGAGAGUUAGAGAGAGAGAGAGGGAGAGUUAGAGAGAGAGGAUGAUUGCCUGUCUUGGAGAUAGCUGUUGUAUUCGCGGAUGGCGGGGACGGCGAUGAGCCACCAGAGGAUCAGCCUGUAGGUGAUCAGGGGGUUGCGGGGAGGAACCCAGAGGCAGAACUUGAGGAAGAAGGUGUUGAGCUCCACCGUCAUGAAGACGACGCAGAGGCUCAGGACCUGGACGAACCUCCACGGCCCCAGGAGAGGGCGCCACUGGUCCUUGUCCCACUGGGCCGGCGUGAACUGGCUCAGCGUCCGCUUAACCUUCAAAGCCAGCAAAGCAAAUCCAAGAUGAUCCGGAAGCACAGGCUCAGAAGCAGAAGGCACAGAGGUUCUUGAAUCCGCGCCCUUGAAAAUACUUGAAGAAAUAAAUCUCAUCGUGGGUGAUGAUGGUAAUGAUGAUAAUGAUGAUAAUGAUGAUGAUGGGCUACUGCCAAUGACUGUAUUUCAAUUGGCGGCGUUGACUAAACUGGAAACCUGGGGAUAAACCAUCUCCAGACUCAUAAUCUUGAGGAUGGGAUCAUCAACUAGUAAACCUCCGGCAGGUGAAGGAGAUCUCUGCAUCAACCCAUUUGGCAUCACAGAACUAAGCUAUGGAUCGACAACAGUUUUGCUGAAGUCCCAGUUUUCCUCAACGGGAAAAAAACCAAAAAAAAAAAAUCAAAUGGAAUGAUAUGCUGCCAGCGAGCCUCAGGCCCACUACUUCUGACGCUCACAGAAGGGAGUCCUGGCGGUCUCCAAGCAUUGAACAGUGGGCAUGCAGAGAAUCGCCGGCGCUGUGAAGGGAACAAGGAUUACCUUCAGAAGAGAGACUGCAUUCUUGUCUCUCCAACUGACGCGGGGGGUCUCUGCAAGGCUCAUGGGUUCAGGAAAGGGAGGCAGAUGCUGCACAGAUGGCUUUCUGGCAUCGUAGAGGAGGUUUUGGAGCAACGCAGGCGUCUCCCUCUGCAGGCAGAGCAACUCCUCGCGCAGGCUUUCCAGACUAUGUUUGAUGAGCUGCAGCCUUUUGUCGUGCUUCUGAAGAAAAAUGGUUUGCCCUCUAUCAGUAAGCUUGGACACCAUGACGACAGAAGAUUAACAGGACGACAGCCCACUGUGUUGUAAAGGGGGCUACAGAGAGGUGGGGUGGACAUGGCAACCUAGAAGAAGGUCAGAAAUGAGAUGGAUGAUCAGGGGGGAUUGGGAAUGGCGGGUCAUGGUGAAAGAAAGGAAAAAAGAAGAGGGCAGGGCAGGAGUCUGAGAAAAAGCAUGAUUUCAACGAGAUCCGCCUGAAAUUCAGCGGUUCAUCAUCUCCUUCAAAGUAUAAUUUGAGCGCAGUUCCUGGAGCUUUCACAGAAUGAAAAUCCCACAAGAACACUCAACUAGAUCGAAUUCCGCUACCUCAUUCCUUUUACAUGGGUAGAACAGAAGAAAAACCUCGAUUGAGUGUAGAAUCUAAACCAGCAGCUACCCCAAGGGCUUCCCAUAACGUUUUAGACUUGGUACAAAGAAAACCAUUGACCAUCAAAGUGGUCGAGAUGGUGAUGAACACUGGGUAUCAGAGAGCAACCAAAAUUUAUCAAAAUUCUUCGUCUCAACUGUAAGUUUUUGAGUCCCAAGGAUGAUUGACUUCGAAAAAAUAGAAACAAGAAUUUCCUAAAUGGUUUAUAAUUGCUCACGCUUACUUCAAAACUGUUCUCCAAUGUUCUAUUUUUAUAAAAAAAUACACCCUAAAAAAAUGAUUUGUUUAACUUUCCAUCUUGAUAGUCACAAGACGUUAUACAAAUACUGCUUCUAUAGUUUCUUUUGACAGGGAAGAUAGCCUGUGAUUUGUCAUGUCGCUUGUUACCCAGAAGUAAGAAUUUCAAAGGUUUAACUUAGGAAAAAAUCAUUCUACUGUUAAUGUCAGUAUUAUGAAUUAUGUAGUUCUCUUAAGGAAAUUCAACAAGAAAAUUAAUAAUGGCGGUGAACCACGGGGGGAUGGUAGUCCACCAGUCGAAAUAGAUCACAAAGAGGGAGAAGAAAAAGCCCAGAAGGGCACUUUAAAGAUCACCAACAUAAUUUAGGACACAGAAUUCUUGUACCUGGAAAUAAUUUGUUCUCGGAAGACUGAAGGUGCACUGCCACAAAAAUUGUGCGCCGUUUAAACAAUAAAAUACUCACUAUUCUUUUCCUUCGAUAGUUUCAGACAAGAAAUACUCAAUGGAUUAUUUUAUAACAUGAGAAAAAUUUUCACAUUAUUCAUCUAAAGUACUACCCACUUGGAGAGUCAAACUUUUCAUCUACGUAAAAUUCUAGUGGACUUUUGUUUAUCAGCACCUUGGGUUUGUCAAUAAUUUCCAUAUGGGAGACUUUGCUUUUGUUAUAUGAAGCACAACAUUGACAAGCCAAUAGAGAGUCGGUUAAUUGUUAAUCUAUCGAUGUUAAUAAGCUUCAAUUACAUUAACCACAAAGUUUCAUUACAUAUUGAGUAAAACUAGUCGGCCACAUUAACAAAAUAGAAAGCAUAACGGUCCUUAAAAAAUGAAAAACGUAGAGCUGGCGAGUCAACCACUGCAUUGGCUGACUUGAUGGGGGAUAGAAACCAGCCACGGCACUUUUUAAUGCUCUAGACAUGACAAUGCUCUGAAGUAAAAUAAAUCUCUACAAUGUACUUGCAUCCACAAGUACACACAAAGCUAGGAAUGUGAGCGUCUAAACUAAACAAAUAUGUCAAAAUAAUGGAUGACGAAAUAGGAUGUGCAUACACUCAUACGCGCACAAACACACACACACGCACAUGCUUCUAAAUGCAAGAGUGAUAAAGGACGCCUGAGACUGAUAGAGAAGUUGGCUAUUUGUUCCAGAAUCUCAAAUCUGGGUGUAAGAUAUAAGUAUGGACAAUCUUUCUGCCAAACAUUUUCUUCUGCAAAGCACGGAAUCUGGCCAACAGGAUGUAUUUUCAGUAGUAUAAACAUCUAGCAUCAUCACUACUGGAAGCUAGAACUAUUAGUUACCAAAAAUGAGAGUUUGGGUUGGUCAGACGAGUUGAAGAUAAGCUUGUAGAGGAGAAGAUGGACAACAACAAGAAAGGCCAAUAUCAAAUGUGACGUUUACUAAGACAUACCUUACCAAAGAUGUUUGGUUGGCGGCUUAUACCAACCCAUUCAUAUGUUUUUCCAUCAAAAUAACGAACUGUACGCAUCCCAGCCCAUAUACCUAUGGACAUAAAAAAAGGAGCAUACAUACAAGAGUGAGACGCAGAAAAAACGCCUUAAAUGACAGUUUCAUCGUACGAUGUUAUAGAAACAAAACUCAUAACUUUGUUAGUACCUACAGGCAAGUCCGUAUAUCACGGUUCAGAUAUCUAAAAUUUCAUUUGAUUCACUUUGAAUAAGAUGUAGCUGAACUAAUUUUAAACCGGCUGAGACUUCUAUUUAUGAUUUUCAAACUCAAGAAAAAUACCUACACUUCACCGAUUAGAAUCAACAGUUUCACCAGAUCGCGGAUUUAAGAAAUGAUAAAAAUAGAUAAAUAUCUAUUUUCAAAGAUGAGAAGACAUACUCGUGGUUUCAAAAUUUCGGGUCGGACAGUAUACUCUUUAAUAACGAUGAGUUUCAUUAUUUUUUAAACUGUUCAGUUUUCAUACAACUUAUUAGAUUGUAGGUAUUUUUGUAUAGUCAUAAGCUUUGCUUAAUUUUCUUUUUUCUCUUCUUCAUUUACUACCAACUAUUUAUUCUUCCUUCUCACAUUGCCCUCCUCGAAACCUGUCCAACCAGACGCCAGUAUGCUAGGAAAAUUACAAACAGAAAGAUGAAACAGUAUUAAUGUUCGUUCAUAGAAAAUUUAUUGAUGAAAUAUUUUUUUUGCAUGGUUUAUAAAUGUUUCAGAUAUGUAGGAUGGGUGAAAUUUCAUCCCACAUUUGACUAUGUUUAAAUUCCAUGGGAUAAGAAAAAAUUUCGAUUAAAUAGAAUCUUUUUAGAAUACAGACUCCAAAAAAGUCUACUUAUUAUAUUUCAUAUUGAAAGUUUCUGAUUCUAAUAAUUUUAAAGACAAGUUACGAAAUACAACACAAUCAACCCCAUUGAACACGGACGAAGGGGGGUGACCAACAACAUGAUGAUACUAAUGACAGUGAUGAAGCUUGGAUUUCUUAAAAUAUGAUUCUUUUCCAUCAAAAAAAUUAAUAUUUAACUUUCUACAAAUUCAUUUCCUGAGACAUCUAUAGCAUCUAAACAUUUAGCAUGGUCCAAGGUCAGAAGCCUGAGCUAGCCCAAUCCUGCCUGGUUUGGACUGACCUUUUGCAUAUAUAAAAUUUAAUGGCCAAACUCAAGAAAAUUGAACAUUGAGCUAGCCCAAGAAAAAGUUUAUGAUCAAACUCAAGAUUCGGUAAACCUGACAAUAAAUCUAACACCCUGUCGGAACUAAAUUCCUAAUCCCAAAAUGUUUUUCAGUCCAGUGUAGCCGUGAAACCUUAUGGUCCAUCAUGUUUCGUUCUCAGGUAUCAUAGGCUGUGAGAGUUUUUGUGUUGCUCCAUUCCUAACACCAGGAAACUGUGGCCUAGCCUCAACCGCUUUUUCCCUUCUAGAAAGUCAUAAACUUUUGACUAUCUUCUUUCAUCUUGACAGCCCAGUCCCAGCUACCACACCAUUUUCGUCCAUCCUCAGAUAUAGCAGACCCAACUACAGCCCCCUCUUCCCUCCAUAAUCAUUGCACCUUUUCAUCCAUGGGCUUCAUAACUCUUGGAGAAAGCUUCAUCAAUUUUUUAUUGCCAGAACAAACGAAAAAUAGGGAUUGCAAAUUGAAGCAAGAUAUCCAGGCCAGACCAGGUCAGGCUCUGCUUUAUCCGAAGAAAAUGGCCAAUUGCAGGUCACAAGGUUUUUGCAUCAGGGCUCAGCCCAUUGGCAUCGCUAUCUAUUAUAACUUCCGCAAUCUUCCACAGUUAAUUUCAUAAGCACCAAAAUUGGGACUGAAAGUCUUCCCGCACAUAUUUUCAAAUGAAGUUGCAUAUUUAGCCUUCUUAAGAAUGAAUUUUAUCCAUAAACUGUUAUCAAAAUAAAGGGUUUCAUUAAGUGUAAUUCACAUAACACCUCAGUAACCCCAGAUAAGCAUGAUAAAAGUUCUCCAACUACACAGUUUGUUCUCAGUGAAUAAUGAUGAUAUAAAGUGUAUUUCACAAAUAUUGUUCGACCAUUGUGUUUUUCUGCAUGGAUCAUGAUGGACAGUCUGGGAUAAUUGUUGACGGAUAUACUGUUCACGGAAAUGCCAUUAAAAGUUGAGAAAUCAUAGGAUAAUAUAGUAUUUCUAUUACAUACAUCCCUUGGCCUCAGUAACAACAGUAAUCCAUAACAUAUGGUCACUAUUAAAAAAUAGCAUACGAUUAAAAAUAUUUAAAUCAUGCAUAACAUUGUAAGUGGUAGCCAGUGAUCUUUAUAGAGUAUUUUAACCAAGGCUAAAAAAACCUACAAUAUGUUAGAAAGUGUUCAUUAUUGUGGAAAAUCUUAGGAUGAUUCUAGA